UUCCUUCCCCAACCCAACCCCCGGACCAGAGCAAGAGAGAGAUUUCCCCCGAUUCGAUCCGAUCAGAUCCGAGAUCUCCAUCCCCGAUGGCGUCCCGGAGCUGCACCUUCCUGGAGAUCCUGCUCGCCAUCAUCCUGCCGCCGCUCGGUGUCUUCCUCCACUACGGCUGCUGCAGCGUAAGCAAUCCACCCCCUCUUCCCCUCCCCCCUGCUACCCUCCUCGACUGGCUGGAUCCACGCGACCCGGUAGGUUCCCAAACGCGAACUUUGCGGUCGGGCGGGCUUGCGCGCUGGCAGCCGCCGCCCGAGUAGCAGGCGAGUCAGGCGACCGUCCGACCGGUGGUUCGAGACAUAUUUGGGCGGCGGUUCCCCUUGGCUGCGAUCGCGAGGUCCCCUGAACUCGCGCGAUUUCCUGUCGGUGACGCGUAGCAUAGCAUUGCUCUAGCUUGGGCCUGCGGUUUCCUCGGUGUUUUAGACCUGCAAAUGACCUGCAGGUGACGCCUAGUAUUGCAGGUAUUAACAUACUACUGUAUGGUUCAGGGCUGGUAUGUUUUACUUAUGCUCUAGCUAUGGAAUUAUGCAGGCCCUGCUGGUUGCUGCCAUGCCAAUGAGAGCAGAUUGAAUCUGUUUUACACGUUUUUUGAGUAGCUGCGUUCAAGAAGGCAUUCAGUCCAUUUGUGGGUUCAGUCGUCGUCUAAGUAGGAGGAUAAUAUGUACGGUGCAUGUCGCUAAUGUCUGAAUUUUGUUUAGAGAAAAGGCCUCUCCUCUCAGUCCCGCUUUAUAUAGAAAGCAAAACCACGCCAUCUGCUGGGGGCCUGGGAUUACCCUCUCUCCGUUCUUACUACAUUGUAUUGCGCUUCAAGUGGUUAUAUUCGACCCCAUUGUUUAUUUAUACUACCCCCUCCAUUCCUAAAUAUAAGUCUUUUUAGAGAUUUCACUAUGGACUACAUACGGAUGUAUAUAGACGUGGUUUAGAGUGUAGAUUCACUCAUUUUGCUCCGUAUGUAGUCCAUAUUGAAAUCUCUAAAAAGACUUAUAUGUAGGAACGGAGGGAGUAGAAGUUAUGUGCAUAGCCGGCACGGUAAAUUUGUCUAAGCACUACAAUCUGUUCCUCGUAAGAAGAGCAAGUUGCUCCGAUGAUUCACUGGAUUAAUCUUGGAUCCUGGAAUGGAUAGGUGAUGCGCAAGCACGUUCUGUGUGGCGCAGAAGGAGCAGUUCAGUGCUAUUGUUUUUUCUCGAUCCUGAUAGCAUACUAACAGUAUUGGGUCAUCCUUUCUGUCUUGAACAGAUGGAGUUCUGCAUCUGCCUGCUGCUCACCAUCCUGGGCUACAUCCCCGGCAUCAUCUACGCGGUCUACGUGCUUGUCGCGCUCGGCUCGGAGGAGCGGGAUCGGGACUACGACACCCUUGCUUAAUAAUCCUGCAGCAACUCGUAUUGUGUGAUGAACCUCUCGCCUGGUAGUUGCGAAUCGACGUCGUGUGUUCCCAUCUGGACUGUGUAGCGUGCCUUCUUUCUGUCAGCCUGUAAAUGCUUAAACCAUCCUCCCCUUCGCUUUCGCCGUCCUGUAAUUCUGAUACGACCGAAUAUAUUUCAGCAGCUCCGAAGAUUUAUGCCAGUGGUUUACGUGAGCAGGGCUAUGAACAGGAGUUACGAUCCUAGGAAUUCCUGCCACUGUUGUUGUGUGGUGAUCUUUGUUCAGUCGGACCUAAUUUUGUGUGCUAUACUUCAUUGCUGAUAGGAACCACACCACCCAUGUCAACUGUGUUUCUUUUUCCUUUCUUUUGAUUGAUAGAGCAAAUGUGUUGUUUUCAAAAAGCUAGGUCAGUUUUACAUACAUAUGUCGCCAGAGAUGAAGCUGUAGAAGUUUUAGAACCGUCACUGUCGUUUUUAUGUUUGAGAGUUUUGCAGAGUUUUCUAGAAAGGACCAUUCCCAAACUAACUCAAGUGGGCAACUGACACUGCAUCAGCAAGAUUAGAUGAGUGGUUGGAGCGGGAACCGACGAGGUUUCUCAAGCAAGCGGUAGCCCUUUGUGCCGUUUGUCGAGGUAGCCGAGAGCGUGUGUGGUGGAGCCGUGGUCGAGAUAGCCGUGUGAAGUAUGUUGCGAUCGAUGUCGAGUCGGGGUGGGGGUGGCCGGUGUUGAGGAAGUCUCAGUGGAGCCGCGGGCGCAAGGAAGCGCCGAGUCAGUCAUGGGUGCGAGUAGUGGUGCGCCGAGAAGAAGAUGUCGUUGACGACUCAUCGUGCCGGGGUUGCCAAACCCGGGGACACAUCGUGGACGAAGGCACGCAUCGGUGUUGCCAGCAUCGGGCAUGCGUAGACGGACGAAGAUGAAGUUGACGAAGCGCCGCACCAGGCUUGCCAGGCCCGUGGACACGUCGUGGACGAAGGCACGCAUCGUUGUUGCCAACACCGGUCAUGUGUAGACUGGGUCCUGCACAAGCUGUACGCCAUGUCGGAGAAGUCGGAGAGGCUAGCAGAGAAGGACUCGACGAUGAUGGCGGCGCCAAUCGGCGCGAGGCCGAUGUCGUGCGCGAUUGUGGGAGUAGAUGAAGUGGUCGGGGUAGAUGACGUCGACGAUGGCGACGCGCUGGUGCUGGAUGAAGACGAAGCAGGUGGACGGGCGACGGUGGCGGCUGCGAGGGUAGCGGCGACGACGACCAAAGAAGAGCGGCGACGGCGACCUGAUGGCAGCGGCGGCGGCUAGGUUAGGAGCGUGACGAAGAUGCUCGAAGUAGGCGAGGAACCCGAGAACGUGACGAAGACUGGCGUGGACGGUGGCGUUCCCGCGCCAAGGGAUGCGGCGUGUCGCAUACCACGGGAAGUCGACGCACGGGGACGGCGGAGUGGACCGCGGGCCGCCGUGCUACGGCCAAAAGGGGGGGGAUGCGGCGGCAGCAGUCUGGUAAGGGCGAUGUCGGGAAGACCUCGGGGCGGCGGCGGGGACCGCGGGUCGUGGCGCUACGGCCUGACAGGGCGAUGCAGCGGCGGAGCCCGGGUCAGUGUAGCCACAGGGACGACCUCGGGAGAUCGCAGAGACCGCGUGCCACGCUCGCUACGACCCGAUGGGGCGACGCAGUGGCAGCACGCAGGUCGAUGCAGCUGCAAGGAGAACCACAGGAUGGCAGCGCUGCAGCCCGAUGCUCGAUCGGUGAAGGACGUGUUGAACUCGGGGACGAUCUUCAUGGGACUUGUGGAGGCGCGCGCAACCGACAGGCCAGGUCGAUCGCGUGGCGUAUAUGAGGCGGAUCACGGCGGCGAGCGGGUGAUCAAGCCGAUCGUGCAGGAGGUAGGGGACGUCGCUUGAAGAAGGUGGGGUGGCGGCGGAGUCCAAAAUGCGGCCGACGAUGACGGACGACGUAGGAUGACGUGCGGAAAAGCGCGUCACCGCCGGCACCCACGAUGCUAAAACAACGCCGGCGCCCGGGCAGCGAGGCUCGAGCGACCAAGUAGCAGCGGCGCCCGAGCUGAGCCAACCGACGAGCUUGACGCAGCCGGGGAUGAGGUCGGCGAGGCAGAUCGCAGGGCCGCCGUGCAUACGCGGCGGAGGCGGGUGGCGUGGAUCGAUGGGUGGGCCGGCGCGAGCGGUGGCUAUGAUGGGUAGCCGUAUAGCGCGAGGCCAUAGGGUCGGGGCGAUGCAGGAGUCCCGGUCGGAGCAUGGCGGAGACGGCCGACGCAGGGCGAUGGGUAGGCCGACGCGCGGAUGGCGGUUGGCCCUGACGGGUCGCCUCGGCGCACAUGACCGCUGGGUCGGAAGAGAGGCCGCGUGGUUGCGCCGGGGUCGAAGUAGAGGCGUGGGGGGAAGGGAGGGUCGACGACGGCGGCGGAUUGUUGGGAAACAUAGUAAUUUCAAAAUUUUCCUACGCACACACAGGAUCAUGGUGAUGCAUAGUAACGAGAGGGGAGAGUGUGUCCACGUACCCUCGUAGACCGAAAGCGGAAGUGUUAGCACAACGCGGUUGAUGUAGUCGUACGUCUUCACGAUCCGAUCGAUCAAGUACCGAACGCACGGCACCUCCGAGUUCUUGCACACGUUCAGCUCGAUGACGUCCCUCGAACUCCGAUCCAGGCGAGCUUUGAGGGAGAGUUCUGUCAGCACGACGACGUGUUAACGAUGAUGAUAUUCUACCGACGCAGGGCUUCGCCUAAGCACCACUACGAUAUUAUCGAGGUAGACUAUGGUGGAGAGGGGCACCGCACACGGCUAAGAGAUCCAAGGGAUCAAUUGUUGUGUCUCCAUGGGGUGCCCCUGUUGGGGAACGUAGCAGAAAUUCAAAAAUUUCCUAUGAGUCACCAAGAUCUAUCUAUGGAGAAACCAACAACAAAAGAGAGGGGAGUGCAUCUACAUACCCUUGUAGAUCGCUAAGCGGAAGCGUUCAAGAGAACGGGGUUGAAGGAGUCGUACUCAUCGUGAUCCAAAUCACCGGAGAUCCUAGUGCCGAACGGACGACACCUCCGCGUUCAACACAUGUACAGCCCGGGGACGUCUCCUCCUUCUUGAUCCAGCAAGGGGAGAGGAGAAGUUGAGGGAGAGCUCCGGCAGCACGACGACGUGGUGGUGGAGCUUGUAGUUCUUCGGCAGGGCUUCGCCAAGCACUACUACUACGGAGGAGGUGUUGGGGAGGGAGAGGGCUGCGCCAGGGGCUUGGGUGAAGCUCCCAUGCGCCUCCCCACUAUAUAUAGGGGUGGAGGGGGCUGGUUUCUUGCCCUCCAAGUCCAUUGGGGCGUUGGCAAAGGUGGGAGGAACGAAAUCCCAUCAUUUCCUUCCCCACUGAUUGUUAUCCCCCCUUUUUAGGGAUCUUGAUCUUAUCCCUUCGGGAUAUGAUCUUAUUCCUUCUAAGGGGGGUUCUUGGUGCGCCUUUACCAAGAGUGUGGGGCCUUUCCGCCACUACCCACGUUCAUGUGGGUCCCCCCAUUCUAGUGGGCACCACUCCGGAACCUUCUAGAACCUUCCCGGUACAAUACCGAAAAAUCACGAACAUUUUUCGAUGGCCAAAAUAGGACUUCCCAUAUAUAAAUCUUUACCUUCGGACCAUUCCGGAACUCCUUGUGACGUCCGGGAUCUAAUCUGGGACUCCGAACAACAUUUGGUAACUGCACACCAAUUCCCAUAACAACUCUAGCGUCACCGAACCUUAAGUGUGUAGACCCUACGGGUUCGGGAAUCAUGCAGACAUGACCGAGACAGCUCUCUGGCCAAUAACCAACAGCGGGAUCUGGAUACCCAUGUUGGCUCCCACAUGUUCCAUGAUGAUCUCAUCGGAUGAACCACGAUGUCAAGGAUUCAAGCAAUCUCGUAUACAAUUCCCUUUGUCUAGCGGUAUUGUACUUGCCCGAGAUUCGAUCGUCGGUAUGCCGAUACCUUGUUCAAUCUCGUUACCGGCAAGUCUCUUUACUCGUUCCGUAACACGUCAUCCCGUGAUCAACCCCUUGGUCACAUUGUGCACAUUAUGAUGAUGUCCUACCGAGUGGGCCCAGAGAUACCUUUCCGUCAACCGGAGUGACAAAUCACAGUCUCGAUUCGUGCCAACCCAACAGACACUUUCGGAGAUACCUGUAGUGCACGUUUAUAGCCACCCAGUUACGUUGUGAUGUUUGGUACACCCAAAGCAUUCCUACGGUAUCCGGGAGUUGCACAAUCUCAUGGUCUAAGGAAAUGAUACUUGACAUUAGAAAAACUUUAGCAUACGAACUACACGAUCUUUGUGCUAGGCUUAGGAUUGGGUCUUGUCCAUCACAUCAUUCUCCUAAUGAUGUGAUCUUGUUAUCAACGACAUCCAAUGUCCAUGGUCAGGAAACCGUAACCAUCUAUUGAUCAACAAGCUAGUCAUCUAGAAGGUUACUAGGGACUUGGUGUUUUCUAUGUACCCACACAUGUAUCUGAGUUUCCUAUCAAUACAAUUAUAGCAUGGAUAAUAAACGAUUAUCAUGAACAAGGAAAUAUAAUAAUAAUAACUAAUUUAUUAUUGCCUCUAGGGCACAUUUCCAACAGUCUCCCACUUGCACUAGAGUCAAUAAUCUAGUUCACAUCGCCAUGUGAUUAACAUUGACAGGUCACAUCGCCAUGUGACCAACAUCCAAAGAGUUUACUAGUGUUAUUAAACUAGUUCACAUCACCAUGUGAUUAAGACUCAAUGAGUUCUGGGGUUUGAUCAUGUUUUGCUUGUGAGAGAGGUUUUAGUCAACGGGUCUGCAACAUUCAGAUCCGUAUGUAUUUCACAAUUCUCUAUGUCAUAUUGUAAAUGCUGCUUCCACGCUCCACUUGGAGCUAUUCCAAAUGGUUGCGCCACUAUACGUAUCCGGUUUGCUACUUAGAGUCAUUCGGACAGGUGUUAAAGCUUGCAUCGACGUAACCCUUUACGCCGAACUCUUUAUCACCUCCAUAAUCGAGAAACAUGUCCUUUAUUUACUCCAAGGACAAUUUUGACCGCUGUCCAAUGAUCCAUUCCUGGAUCAUUCUUGUACCCCUUGACUGACUCAUGGCAAGGCACACUUCCGGUGCAGUACACAGCAUAGCAUACUAUAGAGCCUACGUCUGAAGCAUAGGGGACGACCUUCGUCCUUUCUCUCUCUUCUGUCGUGGUCGUGCUUUAACUCUUAACUUCAUACCUUACAACUCAGGCAAGAACUCCUUCUUUGACUGAUCCAUCUUGAACACCUUCAAGAUCAUGUCAAGGUAUGUGCUCAUUUGAAAGUACCAUUUAGUGUUUUUUUGAUCUAUCUUCAUAGAUCUUGAUGCUCAAUGUUCAAGCAGCUUAUUCCAAGUUUUCUAUUGAAAAACACUUUUCAAAUAACCCUAUAUGCUUUCCAGAAAUUCUACAUCAUUUCUGAUCAACAAUAUGUCAACAACAUAUACUCAUCAGAAAUUCUAUAGUGCUCCCACUCACUUCUUUGGAAAUACAAGUUUCUCAUAAACUUUGUAUAAACCCAAAAUCUUUGAUAAUCUCAUCAAAGCGUACAUUCCAACUCCGAGAUGCUUACUCCAGUCCUUAGAAGGAUUGCUGGAGCUUUGCAUAUUUGUUAGCGUUCUUCAGGAUUGACAAAACCUUCUGGUUGUAUCACAUACAACCUUUCCUCAAGGAUAUCGUCGAGGAAACAAUGUUUUGACAUCCUAUCUGCAAGAUUUCAUAAAUCAUGCAGUAAUUGCUAAUAUAAUUCCAACAGACUCUUAGCAUCGCUACGAGUGAGAAAGUCUCAUCGUAGUCAACUCCUUGAACUUGUCGGAAAACAUCUUAACGUCAAGUCGAGCUUUCUUAAUGGCGAUACUUACCAUCAUUGUCUGUCUUCCUUUUAAAAUCCAUCUGUACCCAACGGCCUUACGACCAUCAAGUAUUUCUUCCAAAGUCAUGGAUCCUCUCUCGGAUUUUAUGGUCUCGAGCCAUUCGUCGGAAUCCGGGCCCACCAUUGCUUCUCCAUAGCUCGUAGGUUCAUUGUUGUCUAGCAACAUGACCUCUAAGACAGGAUUGCGUACCACUCUGAAGUAGUACGCGUCCUUGUCGACCUACGAGGUCCGGUAGUGACUUGAUACGAAGCAUCAUGAUCACUAUCAUCAGCUUCCACGUCAAUUGGUGUAGGUGACACAUGAACAACUUCCUGUGCCCUGCUACUCACUGGUUGAAGUGAUGGUUCAAUAACCUCAUCAAGUCUCCACCAUCCUCCCACUCAAUUCUUUCAAGAAAAACUUUUCCUCGAGAAAGGACCCGUUUCUAGAAACAAUUACUUUUGCUUUCGGAUCUAAGAUAGGAGGUAUACCCAACUGUUUUGGGUGUCCUAUGAAUAUGCAUUUUUAUCCGCUUUGGGUUCGAGCUCAUCAACCUGAAACUUUUUCACAUAAGCGUCGCAGCCCCAAACUUUUAAGAAACGACAACUUAGGUUUCUCCAAACCAUAGUUCAAACGGUGUCGUCUCAACGGAAUUACGUGGUGCCCUAUUAAAGUGAGUGCGGUUGUCUCUAAUGCCUAACCCAUGAACGAUAGUGGUCAUUCGAUAAGAUACAUCAUGGUACGCGCUAUAUCCAAUAGGGUGCAAAUAUGAUGUUUGGACACACCAUCACAUUAUGGUGUUCCAGGCGGUAUUAAUUGUGAAACAAUUUCCAUAAUUUCUUAAUUGCGUGCCAAAGCUCGUAACUCAGAUACUCAUCUCUAUGAUCAUAUCAUAGAUAUUUUAUCCUCUUGUCACGAUGAUCUUCAACUUCACUCUGAAAUUACUUGAACCAUUCAAUAAUUCAGACUUGUGUUUCAUGAAAUAAAUAUACUCAGUAUCUACUUAAAUCAUCCAUGAAGUAAGAACAUAACGAUAUUCACUGCAUGCCUUAGCACUCAUUGGACUGCACACAUCAAAACGUGUUACUUCCAACAAGUUGCUAUCUUGUUCCAUUUUACUGAAAAUGAGGCUUUUCAGUCAUCUUGCCCAUGUGGUAUGAUUUGCAUUUCUCAAGUGAUUCAAAAUCAAGUGAGUCCAAAUGAUCCAUCUGCAUGGAGUUUCUUCAUGCGUAUACGCCAAUAGACAUGGCUCGCAUGUCUCAAACUUUUCAAAAACGAGUGAGUCCAAAGAUCCAUCAACAUGGAACUUCUUCAUGCGUUUUAUACCAAUAUGACUUACAUGGCAGUGCCAUAAGUAAGUGGUACUAUCAUUACUAUCUUAUAUCUUUUGGCAUGAAAAUGUGUAUCACUAUGAUCGAGAUUCAAUGAACCAUUAUUUUAGGUGCAAGAUCAUUGAAGGUAUUAUUCAAAUAAAUAGAGUAACCAUUAUUCUCCUUACAUGAAUAACCGUAUUGUGAUAGACAUAAUCCAAUCAUGUCUAUGCUCAAUGCAAACACCAAAUAACAAUUAUUUAGGUUUAACACCAAUCUUGAUGGUAGACAGAGCAGGCGAUGCUUGAUCACAUCAACCUUGGAAACACUUCCAACACACAUCGUCAUCUCACCUUAAGCUAGUCUCCGUUUAUUCCGUAGCUCUUUUAUUUCGAGUUACUAACACUUAGCAACCGAACCGGUAUCUAAUACCCUGGUGCUACUAGGAGUACUAGUAAAGUACACAUUAACAUAAUGUAUAUCCAAUAUACUUCUAUCGACCUUGUCAGCCUUCUCAUCUACCAAGUAUCUAGGGUAAUUCUGCUCCAGUGGCUGCUCCCCUCAUUACAGAAGCACUUAGUCUCGGGUUUGGGUGCAACCUUGGGUUUCUUCACUGGAGCAGCAACUGAUUUGCCGUUUCAUGAAGUACCCCUUCUUGCCCUUGCCCUUCUUAAAACUAGUGGUUUCACUAACCAUCAACAAUUGACGCUCCUUCUUGAUUUCUACAUUCGCAGUGUCGAACAUUGCGAAUAGAUCAAGGAUCAUUAUAUCUAUCCCUAUUAUGUUAUAGUUCAUCACGAAGCUCUAGUAGCUUGGUGGCAAUGUCUUUGGAGAAACAUCACUAUCUCAUCAGGAAGAUCAACUCCCACUCGAUUCAAGUGAUUGUUGUACUCAGACAAUCUGAGCACAAGCUCAAGAUUGAGCUUUUCUCCCUUAUUAUGCAGGCUAAGAAAAUCAUCGGAGGUCUUAUACCUCUUGAUGUGGGCACGAGCCUGAAAUCCCAAUUUCAGCCCUCGAAACAUCUCAUAUGUUCAGCGACAUUUCAAAAAUGUCUUCGGUGCCUCAAUUCUAAACCAUUUAACAUUACCAAACUAUCAUGUAGUCAUCAAAACGUGUAUGUCAGAUGUUCGCAACAUCCACAGACCACGUUCGAGGUCCAGCACACCGAGCGGUGCAUUAAGGACAUAAGCCUUCUACUGUCCGCAUAAUUGCUACUGUCAACUUUCAACUAUAUUUUCUCUAGGAACAUAUCUAAAACAGUAGAACUAAAGCGUGAGCUACGACAUAAUUUGCAAAAAUAUUUUGACUAUGUUCAGGAUAAACAAGUUCAUCUUAUGAACUCCCACUCAAAUAGACAUCCCUCUAGUCAUCUAAGUGAUUACAUGAUCCGAGUCAACUAGGUCGUGUCCGAUCAUCAUGUGAGACGGACUAGUCAUCAUCGGUGAACAUCUUCAUGUUGAUCGUAUCUACUAUACGACUCAUGCUCGACCUUUCGGUCUCUUGUGUUCCGAGGCCAUGUUUGUACAUGCUAGGCUCGUCAAGUCAACCGAAGUGUUUCGCGUGUGUAAAUCUGGCUUACACCCGUUGUAUGUGAACGUUAAAAUCUAUCACACCCGAUCAUCACGUGGUGCUUCGAAACGACGAACUUUCGCAACGGUGCACAGUUAGGGGGAACACUUUCUUGAAAUUUUAAUGAGGGAUCAUCUUAUUUACUACCGUCGUUCUAAGCAAAUAAGAUGCAUAAACAUGAUAAACAUCACAUGCAAUCAAGAAGUGACAUGAUAUGGCCAAUAUCAUUUUGCUCCUUUUGAUCUCCAUCUUCGGGGCUCCACGAUCAUCAUCGUCACCGGCAUGACACCAUGAUAUCCAUCAUCAUGAUCUCCAUCAUCGUGUCUUCAUGAAGUUGUCUCGCCAACUAUUACUUCUACUACUAUGGCUAUCGGUUAGCAAUAAAGUAAAGUAAUUACAUGGCAUUGUUCAAUGACACGCAUGUCAUACAAUAAAUUAAGACAACUCCUAUGGCUCCUGCCGGUUGUCAUACUCAUCGACAUGCAAGUCGUGAUUCCUAUUACAAGAACAUGAUCAAUCUCAUACAUCACAUAUCAUUCAUCACAUUCUUUUUGGCCAUAUCACAUCACAUAGCAUACCCUGCAAAAACAAGUUAGACGUCCUCUAAUUGUUGUUUGCAUGUUUUACGUGGCUGCUAUGGGUUUCUAGCAAGAACGUUUCUUACCUACGCAAAAACCACAACGUGAUAUGUCAAUUGCUAUUUACCCUUCAUAAGGACCCUUUUCAUCGAAUCCGAUCCGACUAAAGUGGGAGAGACUGGCACCCGCUAGCCACCUUAUGCAACAAGUGCAUGUCAGUCGGUGGAACCUGUCUCACGUAAGUGUACGUGUAAGGUCGGUCCGGGCCGCUUCAUCCCACAAAACCGUCGAAACAAGAUUGGACUAGUAACGGUAAGCAUAUUGAACAAAAUCAACGCCCACAACUACUUUGUGUUCUACUCGUGCAAAGAAUCUACGCAAUAGACCUAGCUCAUGAUGCCACUGUUGGGGAACGUAGCAGAAAUUCAAAAAUUUCCUACGAGUCACCAAGAACUAUCUAUGGAGAAACCAGCAACGAGAGAGAGGGGAGUGCAUCUACAUACCCUUGUAGAUCGCUAAGCGGAAGCGUUCAAGAGAACGGGGUUGAAGGAGUCGUACUCAUCGUGAUCCAAAUCACCGGAGAUCCUAGUGCCGAACGGACGACACCUCCGUGUUCAACACACGUACAGCCCGGGGACGUCUCCUCCUUCUUGAUCCAGCAAGGGGAGAGGAGAAGUUGAGGGAGAGCUCCGGCAGCACGACGGCGUGGUGGUGGAGCUUCCAGUUCUCCGGCAGGGCUUCGCCAAGCACUACUACGAAGGAGGAGGUGUUGGGGAGGGAGAGGGCUGCGCCAGGGGCUUGGGUGAAGCUCCCAUGCGCCUCCCCACUAUAUAUAGGGGUGGAGGGGGCUGGUUUCUUGCCCUCCAAGUCCAUUGGGGCGUUGGCAAAGGUGGGAGGAACGAAAUCCCAUCAUUUCCUUCCCCACCGAUUGUUAUCCCCCCUUUUUAGGGAUCUUGAUCUUAUCCCUUCGGGAUAUGAUCUUAUUCCUUCUAAGGGGGGAUCUUGGUGUGCCUUUACCAAGGGUGUGGGGCCUUUCCCCCACUACCCACGUUCAUGUGGGUGCCCCCCAUUCUAGUGGGCCCCACUCCAGAACCUUCUAGAACCUUCCCGGUACAAUACCAAAAAAUCACGAACAUUUUCCGAUGGCCAAAAUAGGACUUCCCAUAUAUAAAUCUUUACCUCCGGACCAUUCCGGAACUCCUUGUGAUGUCCGGGAUCUAAUCCGGGACUCCGAACAAUAUUCGGUAACUGCACACCAAUUCCCAUAACAACUCUAGCGUCACCGAACCUUAAGUGUGUAGACCCUACGGGUUCGGGAAUCAUGCAGACAUGACCGAGACAGCUCUCUGGCCAAUAAUCAACAGCGGGAUCUGGAUACCCAUGUUGGCUCCCACAUGUUCCAUGAUGAUCUCAUCGGAUGAACCACGAUGUCAAGGAUUCAAGCAAUCCCGUAUACAAUUCCCUUUGUCUAGCGGUAUUGUACUUGUCCGAGAUUCGAUCGUCGGUAUGCCGAUACCUUGUUCAAUCUCGUUACCGGCAAGUCUCUUUACUCGUUCCGUAACACAUCAUCCCGUGAUCAACCCCUUGGUCACAUUGUGCACAUUAUGAUGAUUUCCUACCGAGUGGGCCCAGAGAUACCUUUCCGUCAACCGGAGUGACAAAUCCCAGUCUCGAUUCGUGCCAACCCAACAGACACUUUUGGAGAUACCUGUAGUGCACCUUUAUAGCCACCCAGUUACGUUGUGACGUUUGGUACACCCAAAGCAUUCCUAUGGUAUCCGGGAGUUGCACAAUCUCAUGGUCUAAGGAAAUGAUACUUGACAUUAGAAAAGCUUUAGCAUACGAACUACACGAUCUUUGUGCUAGGCUUAGGAUUGGGUCUUGUCCAUCACAUCAUUCUCCUAAUGAUGUGAUCCCGUUAUCAACGACAUCCAAUGUCCAUGGUCAGGAAACCAUAACCAUCUAUUGAUCAACAAGCUAGUCAUCUAGAGGCUUACUAGGGACUUGGUGUUUUCUAUGUACCCACACAUGUAUCUGAGUUUCCUAUCAAUACAAUUAUAGCAUGGAUAAUAAACGAUUAUCAUGAACAAGGAAAUAUAAUAAUAAUAACUAAUUUAUUAUUGCCUCUAGGGCACAUUUCCAACAGCCCCCUCCCCGUAUAUAAAGGAGUAGAGGAGGGGAGGGCCGGCCCUCUCUUGGCCGCGCCAUAGGGGAGUCCUACUCCCACCGGGAGUAGGAUUUCAAAAUAAAUUUCAAUUAUGUUAGAAUUCAUUAAUAUUACACAUAAUCUGAAAUCUCAUAAUCCGAAAUAAUUUCCAAAAUGUACAAAAUUUCUGAAAUUUUGCCUAUUUUGCACCAUUGCUCCCUAAUGAGGUCGAUUAGCGGCCGCCUCUACCAUCACUUGACCCCGCGACCGAGCCGAGCUGCUGCUCCUUCAGAGCUUUUUUGCUUUCGGACGGCGCGACGAUGGUAGAGGCGUCGAGAAGACCGCCCCAAGGCCAUUCCUAGACGACAUGGCGACCACCUUGGCCCCGAUGAGCAGCCGACCAGAUUUCUCUUUCCUUGCGCACUAGUUGUUCGACCAAAAGCCUCAAAGGAAAAAAAAUCAGUUUUUCGUUCUUUUUGUUGCGAUAUGCGAGUAGAUUGUAAUGAAAAGUAUUGAGUUGUAGAUGAGUUAAUUCGGAUCCUCUCUGUGAGAUGAUGCCUCCUCCGAAGAAGAAUAUGAGAUGGACGAAGACGAAGGCACUGCUUUGAUCAUGAUAAUGUACAUGCAUAAGAGAUCUCAUCGAAGAGUUGUGGACAUAGAAUGAGCAACAAACAACUAACUUCAUCUCUAUGUUUUAUGUCAUGUGUAAUGAACAGACGACACUCCACGCAAGAUGCAUGCACGAUUCACAAUCAGAUGGAUGUGGAGCACUUUAUGCUACGACUGAAUGGCUGGAUGUGGAGCGUCGUUCAUGCAUUGUUAUAAAAACGUGGUGUGCAUAGCAGCUCUCAUUGCUAUAUACUCCCUCCGUUCCUUUAUAUAAGGUGUAUUUGUUUUUUGAUGAAAUUUCAGAAUGUAAGGUGCAUUUAUUCUAAUUCCUUAUAAUUCCCUUGUUAGACCUCCAAAAAAAGGAAGAGUAUCUCUCUCUUGAUUGUCUGUAUCUCUUCUUGUAGCAAAAGAAUGAAAGUAUCUUUCUGUGGAUUGCAUGUAUCUCAUACUUUCCUCGACUAAUUGAUUUACUUGCCACUAAAAAAUGAAAUUGCCAAGGAUAAUUUCAUACUAACAUGUUUAUAAUUUCGUGUCUUGUUUACCAUGCCGAAAAUAAUACACCUUACAUAAAGGAACGGAGGGUGUAUUACCCAUGACGAGCAGUAUGAGUGCAUCAUUGACACACGCCUAGAUGUCUGCUCACAAGAAAUGGACGCAAGCCGACUAACCAAACACGACUAACGUUUUGACAUCUUCGUAACCUGACACGACACACAACAACAAGCAAUUAGUGUGUCUUGACAAAGAAAACGGACUCGCUUAUCGGCUAGUCAGUUCCAGAAGAUGUGCUGACGUCUGUCAACAAUGCAAACCGUCCUGUGAUUGGAUGGUUAGAUGGACACACUAUUAAGGAAAACCUUAUACACAGAAGCUUACUAGUAGCGCUUUUUAAAAGGCAACGCUGCUACUAGAUAUUAGUAGCGCUCGACAGAAGCAAGCGCUGCUACUGUGAUCUUACCAGUAGCGCUCUCGUUACAAAAGACGCUACUACUAUAACUGUCAGACCGUUGGCGGCAGCCCAGGCAUACUAGUAGGGCUCGUUUGCAAAAAAGCACUACUGCUAUUGCUAAAUUGACCAAAAGUUUAGUCCCACCUCGCUCCGCAUACAUAAUAUUUACCAGCUUAAAUAUGGUGCUUCCCAAACUAUCACAACCAAUUGGUCUUCAUUGAACUCCAUGUGUAGGAUCUAUGGCAAUAUGAAUCCUCGCCUGUACCUAUACACGCGAGGAUUUAUACUGACAAUUUAGAUUCUACAAAAAAAUCAAUGAUGACCAAUGCAUUUUUAAUUUGAUGCCUGUUUUACAUGCUAAUGAUCGUAGCCUUAGUAGUAGCGCUGCUUUUGAAAAAAACGCUACUGCUAAUGAUUAUAGCAGUCGCGCUUUUUACUUGCCAACGCUACUACUAUGGGUAUCUUAUCUUAUCCGCGCGUGCGGCCUCACUCUCCCCUCACACUCUCAUCGCUCGCCCACUCCGGCCGCCGCGCACCGUCGCCCACUCGCCCACCUUUUCGCCCUCAUCUCCCCUCCCUCUCGCCGCCCUCCUCCUCUCCCCUCCGAUCACGUCGCCCCACCUCCAUCCUCCGCCCCUCCUCCGUCCUUCUCCUUCCUCCUUCCNNNNNNNNNNNNNNNNNNNNNNNNNNNNNNNNNNNNNNNNNNNNNNNNNNNNNNNNNNNNNNNNNNNNNNNNNNNNNNNNNNNNNNNNNNNNNNNNNNNNNNNNNNNNNNNNNNNNNNNNNNNNNNNNNNNNNNNNNNNNNNNNNNNNNNNNNNNNNNNNNNNNNNNNNNNNNNNNNNNNNNNNNNNNNNNNNNNNNNNNNNNNNNNNNNNNNNNNNNNNNNNNNNNNNNNNNNNNNNNNNNNNNNNNNNNNNNNNNNNNNNNNNNNNNNNNNNNNNNNNNNNNNNNNNNNNNNNNNNNNUGCCCCCCCCCCCGCUCGGUCGUCCUCCACCGAGAGGUACUCCUCCUCCCUCCUCCCUCCUCCUCCCUAGUUAAUUUUGAACUCUAGCUAGUUGAAAAUUUUAGGUUAGAUCUUAGAAUAAUGUAGUAGGUUAUGAUCUUAGGUGUUUAAUUUUAGGAUAAUGUAGUAUAAACCCUAGCUAGUUAUGAUCGAACCAUGUUCAAAAUGUAGGUUUUUAAUUAGGUGUACUUAAUAUAAUUUAGGUAUUUUAGGUGUUUAAUCUUAGAAUAAUGUAGUAUGAACCCUAGUUAUGAUCGAACCAUGUUCAACAUGUCAAAUUUGUUGUUAUUUUUUAGUUAAAACAUUUAUUCCCGGAUCGACGUUGACGAUGCCUAUCCCGCACCCUCGUCGUCGACUCGAUGGAGGACACCUGCUUGAUCAGAGGGGCCAUGUCCGGGACUGGGCUCCGCCGGGCUGGUACUGGGAGGUGCUACGUUCUGGGCGGCGCAGCUUGGUGAGGACCCGUCGUUGACCCGAGCCUUCUUUGGUGGCGGUCACGUGGGCCAAUUACAAUGCGGAGGCUUGAGGACCCCGUGGAGGUGGUACGUCACCGUGUCAGCGAGGAGGACGAGCACGUCCGUCGCUAUAUGGUUGCGUUGGAGGGAAGGUUCUCCAAUACCUGACAGGUUCUUCAGGGAUCUCACUGGAGCUAUGAUCCUGUGAUGGUUCCUUCUCUUUGGGUGUCCACCUCCCAUGCCGAUACCCGUCGUUCACUAGGGUUUUAGCUAUAUUAGUGAUGUUAUAUGUAUGAUACUAUUCGAGAUGUAUUAGUGAUAAUAUUCAACGAUAUAUGGACGAAAGAGAUGAUUUAGUUUUGCUUAUUGAAUGCAUGCUAAUUUGAAUACUUAUUUAUUUUACGAUUUGGUUUUGCUUACUGAAUGCUCAAAUUGGAAAACUACUCCUACUUUGAAUGCCCAACUGGCCGGCCAUGUUUGCAGGUUACACCUCCGAGUGGCCUAUGCUUUGCCGGAGUGUUGAUUAAUUUUCGUUCCAGCAAAUUUCAGGCGCUCGAUAUGUCCUUUUUUAGCAAAGUUCAUGCCGGAUUUUCCCAUGAAUUCUGGCAUGACUUGUGCUAGAAUGUAUAGGAAAUAUAGAGUGGCCUGGAUUUUCUAGAAAGAUAAUUAAAUGACAUAUCAGGUUGACUUUAAUUCUGUCGAGGCCCCAUACAUGACAAUCAAAAAAUAAGUGAGGGAGUGUGUCCACCAUAUGUGAGAGAAGAAUAAUGCCGACUGUUGUCGUGGGGGUCGCUUCUCCUUCAUUCCCGUGUGCUAGACAUUUUUGUUUAAUGCACUCGGGGAUGAAGGGAGGAGCGACCAUCACCAAUGGUCGAAUAUAUACACCAUGUGAGCUGAGAGUUUUCAAAAAAAGACUCGAUGGACUGAUAGUCAACCCGUGCUGAUAAUAAUGAUCUAAUUUAGUUUUUAUAGUACAUAUAUUGAAUUGUACAAGUUUAAUAUUUGAAUUAUGAACCUCUACUUCCUCUACUCCCGAGUAGUUGCCUUCGACUGAUUUUCAAUGUUUCAAAUAUGAACAUAUAUAGGAAAUGUCUGACGACGAAAGAAAAUUUGGUAUGUGUGAAUACUGUGAAGACGAGCACGACAUGUGCGGCAGGCCUUACCUAGUUGGUGGUAGGCGCUUCAGCUCGUGCUGGAUGAGAACUUCGAAGUGGAUACAGUAAGUCACAACGACAAGUCUUUUUUCGUAAUUAAGCAUGACUUCUGCUACUUUUGCUUUUUUUGCUUCAACUUAUAAUUUUAAUUUUUUACAAUUCUACUAGUGUAUCCCUUGUCAUGCAAGAAUCUUUGUUUUGGAUAAGAUUGGUUUUAGUAUUAUGGAAAGUAUGGAGGUAAAGAAAGUUCACUUGAGGACCGAGCAUGGUUAUACUUUUGCCGCAAAAUUAUACAAUGCAGACACCUACUCCUGUGUUGAAUGCAAAAAUUGGGGAGCACUAUGCAAGGCUUAUGCAUUUGAGCCUAAUAUGAUUGUCACCUUUGAUAUUCGUCCGGAAGAUGAAUUUGAAGGUAAUAUAGACAUCUGGGUCGAUGUGCAGAUGCCUCCAGUCCUACCAUUAUGUGAGUUUCUCAACCAUAUUUAUGUCUUGGAUAUUGUUUAUUCAAAAAUAGUUAACAACUAAUUUCUAUUGACAACUUAUUUUCAUUCAAGCAAACCUGUCCGACACUUGGUAGACAUGACCUACUAUUGUCCCGGGGUUGAACUAAACUGCGAGGAGAUAAGUCAUUAUGUUUUAUGGCUUGAGGAUCUUCAUACUGUGAAGACAAAUUAUUUUCCUGGAUUUGAAAAUCUUAGUACUGAAAGCGUGCGACCAAUAGUGUUCGUACUGAACUACAGUCACAUCUAUUUAGGAAAGAUGGUAAGAUGUUUACUAUUUUUCCUCUGCGCAUCUUUUGCAUACAUUAUUUUUUAAGCUAAACUUCAUUGCUAAGUAUGUUACUACGAUGUUCUUCAACAGGGACUUCCGAUGAUAGUUGUGCCUCAGUGGAUCGAGGCUAAAGGUCUCAUCUCCAUGGUUAGCAUACGGCCAAGACAUCCUAUAAUGCACAUCAGUGCAUUCAGGAUUUAUAAAAGAGAGCAAGUGUUAAUAGUCAAAGACUGGUGUCGGUGUCAAAACCGACGGAUCUCGGGUAGGGGGUCUCAAACUGUGCGUCUAAGGCUAAUGGUAACAUGAGACUAGGGAGACAGUGUUUACCCAGGUUCGGGCCCUCUCGAUGGAGGUAAUACCCUACUUCCUGCUUGAUUGAUCUUGAUGAUAUGAGUAUUACAAGAGUUGAUCUACCACGAGAUCGUAGAGGCUAAACCCUAGAAGCUAGCCUAUGAUUAUGAUUGUCCUUCCCCUACGGACUAAACCCUCCGGUUUAUAUAGACACUGGAGGGGGCUAGGGUUACACAGAGCCGGUUACAGAGAAGGAGAUCUAAUAUCCGAAUCGCCAAGCUUGCCUUCCACGCAAAGGAGAGUCCCAUCCGGACACGGGACAAAGUCUUCAAUCUUGUACCUUCAUAGUCCAACAGUCCGACCAAAGUAUAUAGUUCGGCUGUCCGGAUACCCCCUUAUCCAGAACUCCCUCAGUAGCCCCUGAACCAGGCUUCAAUGACGAUGAGUCUGGCGUGCAGAUUGUGUUCGGCAUUGCAAGGCGGGUUCCAUCACCAAAUACUCCAAAGUAAUUUUCGAACACUUAAGUCGUGUCCGGCUCUGCAAGACAAAUUUCACAUACCACCGUAGAAAGAACAAUAAUCCACAAAUCCAAUCUGCUAACAACUCUUCGUAGCGUGACAUCAGGCCACGACCCGGUCAUUAUUCGGACUGUUUUUCACAACCAGCUACCGCACAUAUUGCGAGGCGGUUUCCUUGGCACGUCUUUCGAAGCAGAGAUCGUGUCCCCUUAUCACGGGAUCCUCAUCAAUACGGGUGCGGGUAACCCCACCAUGCCUGUUGGCAUGACUCUGUGUUUUUAGGCAAGUCCCAAACGGUUAUGCUAGGGACGCUUCAUAUUCUCCCCCUUUAUAGAGGGGUCGAGGCCUAUCCCUUUCUUACCACGCUUGCGCCCUUCCGCAUCUCGAGUUACAACACUCGAAGCUCAAGCUUAGGUACUUCGGAUCUUCAAUCAUGUCCGGAUCCAACCUUCAAGGUCGGUGGAUGGCAGAGGGGGACAUUGCGAAGCUCAGGGAGGCCAGAUAUUUGACCGCCGACGUCAAGCACAGGCUUCCUGCCCCUGGGUAGGUCAUCCCUACUCCCGAACCCAAUGAGAGUGUUGUAUUCGUUUCUCACUUCCUCCGAGGCUUAGGUUUCACCCUAGAUCCCUUCGUGAGAGGGCUCAUGUUCUAUUACGGGCUAGAUUUUCACGAUCUAGCUCCAUAUUCCAUCCUUCGUAUCUCGUCGUUUAUCGCCGUGUGUGAAGCCUUCCUCCACAUGACCCCACACUUCGGCUUAUGGCUCAAGACCUUCAAUGUGAAGCCGAAGGUGAUCGAGGGGGGACAUGCGGAGUGCAGAGGCACUACGAUAAGCAGAAACGCCGAUGCUCCAUGGCCAAAAGGUUCCUUCCCAGAGGUGUCCAAUCUGUGGCAACGGAGGUGGUUCUACGUCACAGCUCCCCGAGGCACAAAGUGGGUGGCUGCCCCCGUCGUCCGCCCGGGCCCUCCGCCUCAACUGGCGUCGUGGGCCAACGUGGGACUGGACUGGGGGUCUGUUAAUGAUGUACCGACAUUGCAGAGUUGUAUUCAGGAGCUUCUUGAGAGGGAUAUCGAUCUUGUCAGAAUCAUUCAGGUAAUGCUAGUUCGGCAGGCCCUGCCGUGCAAACGUUGGCCUCUUCGGAUGUGGGAGUUUAAUCCAGAAGGUCCACGAACCAUUCCGCACUUCUUUGGCAUGACGCUCGAAGGGAUGUAUAAGUUAUUCUUCGGACCACAAGUAAGGUGUCCGGACACCACCGAGGAUGCGGGCCUGAGCUGCAACCGCCCAGAUACCCAAGUAAGUAACCCUGUAACCGAACACUUCAUUUAUGUUUAAUGCAACAUUAUUCUGAAAACUUGUCCGCCGUCAGGAUUGGCUCAGCAAGGCGGAGAGGAUUAUGUGUCCGGCCCCACUUUCCGAAGGCUCGCCUAGUCCUGCAAUAGCCAGGAUGCUUAGAUGUGUGCUAAGCCAAGUGCCUUCGGGGAAAGGGGAAGAGAGAAAUAGAGAAGCCGAGCUCCACACAUUGCACAUCCAAACUGGGGGAAUUACCGUCUCUACGAAGGAGGAUAAUCGGGGAGGUGAAUCCAAGGUUUCCUCCCCCCGCGGGAAGAAAAGGGCCGCCUCCGAAGACUUGGAGACGGAGGUGCCUAAGCAAGGGAAGAAUGCUUCAUCAGGGGGCCCUGCCCCAAAUGGCGUCCUUACCGCACCAUGCCCGCAAACGGGCCAGCCCUCCACCGAGCUAUAAGUUAAUCGUAACUAAAAAGCUAUUGCUUUUUUCCUCCGAGAACAAUAUCCAGGAUCUAUCUUUUGCAGUCCGGCUAGUAGCUCGUGUGAACAUAGUUGGUCUUCGGGGGAUCUUCUUCCGGAGAUGAUGGAGAGUGAAACCCCACCCGCCUCUCCACCCCAUGGGGCGGGCGACCCUGAGGUGUCGUCACGGAGGAGUCCAGAUCCGUCGAGGCCGGAAGCUAACACUUCGUCCACUCCGAGCCCGGCGUGUUUGGCUCCCAUGGAGGGCAGUGAGAAGGGUCCGGGACAGUCCGGCGCCCGGCCGAACAUACUGACGGGCCUCCUGGAGCAAGCUGCUCUCUCGGAGGAUCACCGUACGUUAAUGGGUACGGUGUUGGAGAAGAUCUCAUCCGCCACAAGCGGGUUAAAUGAAGCUUUUGGAAGCCUGCUCAAAGGCUUUGAGGUACGCAACGAAAUACAUAAUUUUUGGUUGUACCGCACAUGCUAGGUGUGCUCCUUAUAGAUAGUAGCCCCUGAGACUCUGGUUGCCAGCCCUAGGUGGCAAACGGAGGAUCACACUUUCAGGUAAUGAUCGUACUGCAUUCAUGCGCAAGUGCUUAAGGGUCCGAUGGUAGACCAGACUGCUGAAUUCGCCGAACUGAGGCGACAAAUUGAUGUGGUAUCACGCUUGUAAACAAGUGGCUUGACGAGUCACAGAGUAUGCGCUCGUUUUUUCCUUGUUUGUUUAGGAAAUAUUAAGAGGAUUGUAAUGUUAAUAUGGUAUGAUUUGGCUGCAGGCGGAGCUGCUGCCAUUGAGGCCCUGAGGGCAGAACUUGCCCUAGCCAAGGAACAAGCCCAGGCUAGCAAUGCGGCUGCCCUAAAGGCGUCCGAAGAUUUGAGAGCCGAUCAGGCUGAUCAUCGCCGAAGCAAAGAAAAGAUAGCCGAGAUGGCUGUGGAGCUGAGGGACGCCACCGGCCGGUAUGAGCUUCUCGAGAAGGAGAAUCAGGCAAAGUCGGCUGACCUGAAGAAGGCCCUGGAUGCGGCUAAGGAAACACGCUCUGAAAUUAGAGCUGCGUGGGAGGAGCUUCGACAGGCCAGAGAUAUCGCGGUUGGAAGCCCCUAUUUAUUGCGGAUGAAGUUUGGAGACCCAAAGUACGCUCUUCUGGAUCAACUUUUGAGCGCUGCAGACGCGUAUGCAGAUCUGGCAAAAAGUGCGGCUGAUGCGACCAAGUUCUUCAAGGAUCAAAAAGAUAAUGACAUAGAAAGGCUGUUCUGGUCGCAAUUCCAUGCUCCGACGCGCCCGUUGCCAUUGAGUGAGAGAACGACCACUAUGGCCGAGCUCCAUAGGUUGUCCGAUCUUGCAAUGAGGUCUGUUAUAGACCAUCUAUGGCUAAAGGGACCAAGGCCGUGCAGUUAUUUUGGUUUAGUGCAACAAUUCCUUGGCGCUGUAUCGAGAAUCGAUGCCAUGAGGAGGUCAGCAUGCAUAGAGGGUGCGCGGAUGGCUCUUGCCCAGGUUAACAUUUUGGGCGGAUAUGGAGGCCACCAUCAUUGCAACCCAGAGUCCGGCAGGAAGCCAGGACCCAGCCGAGAACUAUUUUGAGCAGGUCAUAGAAGGUGCCCGUAUGAUAGAGUCUUAGUGCUCGAAGAGUGUCAUGUUCGAGUGACAAGUUGUUUAAUUGUAAAAACAAUUCUGUGUUAAUUAUAACGGCUGUGUUUGUACUUCCGCCAGAAAGUUUUAUAGUGCCUCCCGUGCGGCCGUUUAUGUAUGUAUAUAACCUGAAAGUUAACAGUCGUUGGCUUCAGCCCCCAUGCAUAUAAUGUGGGGGUGUUCGAGAAAAUGUGCGUAAUCACACUUAAUCCAACGUCUUGGUCCAUUAAGGAGGUGAUCACACGUCGAACUAGGCAACCGGACUAUAUAGCUGUAACACUUUCACUUAGCCAUAGGAGUUUGACGAUGGGGCUACUAUGUAGCCCCUAGUACCUCCGCGUUCAUCCGGAUAGGGGCGCGUGUGUACAUGACCAGGAAACGGUCCUUCGUUAAUGCGGAGGAAUCCUAAAGAUCCCGAUGAGUCCUUGAAUGGUUGACCAGUCUCUUGCUAUAUCAUGACAGUCAGUUUUCGGCUUUCUCUACUGAGGUGCUCAUCCAGAAUAACCAGGGCACAAUCGCAGUAGUUCUCCUUUGGCCGCCUUAGCUGAUAGAACGGAACAUAAGGCCGCAAACCCAGGAGCCGGGCAAACCCAACAUUUGACCAAAGACAUGAUUAGGAGCUGAUGCAUAUAAAGCCAAACUCGCGACACCGAACACUCCCGAAGGUAUUCGGACUUUAUAACAUAUACUGGGUUGAGCAACGCCCUCGAUUAUGAACCCUGUAUUUCUAGGUACGGGCAUUGAUCUGUCGUGGCGAAAUGCCUAUAACGCCAGUAUCCCCUGUGGGUGUAUUGAAUACCCAUGGGAAGUCAAGCAACAAGAGACAGUAAAGAAGGUCUACACAGGGGCUUAAUCUAAAGAGAAACCUUUGAGCGGGGCCCUGCUGCACGUCUGCGCCUUUGUCUCUGUUGUGCCGUAUCCUGGAAGGGUGUCGCACGAAUAGUGUCUGCAAAAAUGAAAACUCAUGUAAAAGAGUAAGCGUGCGAAAGGUUGUUUAUUCUCAAUGAAUGUUAAAAAUGUGAGAUAUUGGCAUAUUAAUAAGGUCACGCCGAAUUGUGGGCCUUAUUACAUGUUUGCAGCCCUUGGUACCAUCUAUGGGGGUGUAUGUAUAGCACCCAGCUCAGGUUUAUCCGAGCUGUUACUAAUGGUGGUGCACCAGACUCAUCUAGCCGUGUCCGUGGUCUUAACGACCGAUCAUGCGCUCUACUGGGAGAGGCCGCUUAGUGUCCGGCUGCAAGAGCCGCCACAUACUCUUCCACAUGUGAGGAGUGCUCCGUGUUUCUGCUAACAGUGAUGAUGCCAUGUGGACCGGGCAUCUUAAGUUUAAGGUAGGUGUAGUUUUGUACAACGUUGAAGCGAGCGAAGGCCGUUCUUCCAAGCAAUGCAUGAUAACCGUUGCUGAAGGGAGCAAUGUCGAAGAGUAAUUCUUCGCAUCUGGAGUUGUCGGGAGAACCGAAUGUCAUCUCUAACACGAGGGAGCCCCUGCAGCGGGUCUCAAUGCCUGGUAUCACUCCUUUAAAGGUGGUGUUACUUUGGCUGAUUCUCGAUGGGUCUAUCCCCAUUUUGCGGGCGUGUCCUGAUAUAUCAAAUUGAGACUACUGCCGCCGUUCAUUAGGACUUGAGUGAGAUGGUAUCCAUCAACUAUUGGGUCGAGCACCAAGGCAGCCGAUCCUCCAUGCCGAAUACUGGUCGGGUAGUCCCUGUGAUCAAAGGUGCUUGGGCAGGCUGACCAAGGGUUGAAUUUGGGGGCAACGGGCUCUACAACGUAUACGUCUCUGAGCGCGCGUCUGCGCCUUCUCUUUGGUAUGUGAGUCGCGUAGAUCAUGUUUACUAUUUUGACUUCUGGUGGGAAUUUUUUUCUGUCCCCCAGUGUUCGGCUGGCGAGGCUCAUCCUCGUCUUCGCUUGGCAUAUCCCUUCCCUUGUGUUCGGCAUUUAACUUGCCGGCCUGCUUGAAGACCCAGCAUUCUCUGUGAGUAUGAUUUGCAGGUUUUUCGGUGGUGCCAUGGAUUUGGCACAAUCUGUCCAGGACUUUAUUCAGGUCGGACGAUCCCUCUUUGCUGCCUUUAAAUGGCUUCUUGCUUUGACCAGGUUGCGAGCCCCUGAAUCCGGCGUUGACCGCCGUGUUGUCCGGACUGUCUUCAUUGUUUCGACGCUUGUUCUUAUUGCGCCGUGGCUUUCCGUUGCCAUCCCUAAUUUCAGAUGUGCCUGGGUCACUGGUGCCUCUACGGGCCAACCAGCUGUCCUCGCCCGCACAAAAGCGGGUCAUGAGGCUUGUUAAGUCCGCCAUUGUCCUCGGCUUUUCUUGUCCGAGGUGUCUGGCCAGCCACUCGUUCCGGAUACUGUGCUUGAAGGCCGCGAGGGCUUCGGCAUCCAGACAGUCAACAAUUUGAUUCUUCUUAGUGAGAAAUCUGUUCCAAAGCUUGCGGGAUGACUCUCCGGGUUGUUGUAUUAUGUGACUUAAAUGUCUGCGUCCGGAGGUCGGACAUAGGUCCCUUGAAAAUUGGCCCUGAAAGCGUUCUCAAGUUCCUCCCAACUUCCAAUUGAAUUUUUGGGGAGGCUUUUCAACCAGUGCCGAGCUGGCCCUUUUAACUUGAGGGGAAGGUAUUUGAUGGCGUGGAGGUCAUCCCCACGAGCCAUGUGGAUAUGAAGGAUAAAGUCCUCAAUCCAGACUCCAGGGUCUAUCGUUCCGUCGUAUGCCUCUAUGUUCACGGGUUUGAAUCCCUGUGGAAAUUUGUGAUCCAGCACCUCAUCGGUGAAGCACAGAGGGUGCACAUCCCCUCUCUAUCUGGACAUGUCAUGGUAGGCUGUCGACUGUUGUUGUGUCCGGUGUUGAUUCCGAACUGUUACUUGAUCAGAUUGAUCGUUUUGGUGACCAUGAUCCCGUGUCGGAGCAUGUCCUCUUGAUCCAUAUAUGGACCUGGUCGCGCUGACCUUUUUGUCCAGGAGCUCAUGUAAAUCCUGUGCAGCGUCAGUGGCUGCUCUAUCGCGGCCAUGAAGUGGUUGGUCCGGCCGAUUGGCCGUAUUGUUCUUCGGCGGAAUGGGAUCUACGGCCUCAUCUUCGAAUUCGGGCAGCAGCUUGCGUUUUGGGUAGCUCUUUGUGUGGCGUUCGUCGCCAUAUUUUCCUUCAGUGUCUAGCACCUUAUUCCAUCUGCGGUUGAGCGUAUCCUGCGCGGCCUUAAGCCUUUGCUUCUGUUUUUUAGGCUCCUCGUCGUGGCCAUAAGCCUUCUGCGGAGGUUAUGUUGUUCCAAACGUUUUUUCCGGGAUGAUGAAUGCAUCAUCGACCGGACUGUCCUCCUCUUCGGAGGCAGUUUGAUGAGUUCGGCCCUCGGGAUCAUUGUGAUCGGCCGUCUGUUCCGGGCUGUGUUCAGCGUGGCCUGGCUCAUCUUGCUCCAUCGCCAAGUCCAUAUUGUUGCCUUUGGAGUCGGUCGGAGUGUCAAUUUUCCUUGCGCUGUUAUCGCUAUUUUUACUGUGACUGGAGUUAGAGCAGCGCCUGUGCCAUCGUUUUGGCUUUUGUCCGGGGGGUUUAUCCUCCAUUGUGUCAUUUUUGUCACCGUUGUCUUCCUUAGGCGUGUCCACCAUGUAGAUGUCAUAUGAUGAAGUGGCGGUCCAGUGCCCCAUGGGCGGUGGUUCCAGAUCGUCCCCUGCAUCGACGUCCAUACCGUCGAUGUCGUUGGAGUCGAAAUCAAGCAUGUCUGUUAGGUCAUCGAUAGUGGCUAUGAAGUGGGUGGUGGGUGGGAGGCGAUUUUCUUCGUCGUCCGUAUCCCACUUGGGCCGGACAUAGUUCGACCAAGAGUCUCCUGACAAAGAGAGAGACCUUAAAGAGUUUAGCACGUCGCCGAAGGGCGAGCGCUGAAAAAUAUCCGCGGCAGUGAACUCCAUAAUUCGAGUCCAAUCAGCUUCGAUGGGUAUGGAUGCGCGCGGCCCAGGACCCGCGGCCGGAAACGAGUCCGGGGGUCCGGUGACACAGAUUUCCUUAGAGGUGGAGUCUGUGUCUGGCUCCAACACCGAUGGGUGUGCGGCCUCCGUGGCGGGGUCCAUCCACCUGUCCUUGGAUGACGCGAUCUGCCCCGGAUUUAGGUCCGGAGCUGUUGCAGGUGCGAUAUCCCGAAUACUGUCCGACAGCAGAUCUAAGUGUGCUCGUCGCGAGCGUUCGGCGUUCCCGACGUAGGCCCGAAUCCGUUGAAGAUCAAGUACCUGCGGAUGUCGGCCGUGUAAUUCAAGUUUCCGAACUUGACCUGAUGGCCAGGGGCGUAGCUGUCGAUCUGCUCCAGAUGGCCAAGCGAAUUGGCCCGCAGUGCGAAGCUGCCGAACACGAAGAUCUGUCCGGGGAGAAAAGCCUCACCCUGGACCACAUCGUUGUUGAAGAUUGAAGGAGCCAUUGAGCCUUAUAGCGACGACACAGAGGAACUCUCAAUGAAAGCACCAAUGUCGGUGUCAAAACCAGCGGAUCUCGGGUAGGGGGUCCCGAACUGUGCGUCUAAGGCUAAUGGUAAUAGGAGACUAGGGACACGGUGUUUACCCAGGUUCGGCCCUCUCGACGGAGGUAAUACCCUACUUCCUGCUUGAUUGAUCUUGAUGAUAUGAGUAUUACAAGAGUUGAUCUACCACGAGAUCAUAGAGGCUAAACCCUAGAAGCUAGCCUAUGAUUAUGAUUGUCCUUCCCAUAUGGACUAAACCCUCCAGUUUAUUUAGACACCGGAGGGGGCUAGGGUUACACAGAGUCGGUUACAGAGAAGGAGAUCUAAUAUCCGAAUCGUCAAGCUUGCCUUCCACGCAAAGGAGAGUCACAUCUGGACACGGGACGAAGUCUUCAAUCUUGUACCUUCAUAGUCCAACAGUCCGGCCAAAGUAUAUAGUCCGGCUGUCCGGAUACCCCCUUAUCAAGGACUCCUUCAACUGGAACAAAAUUGUGAAUGAUCGCUGAGAAGUACUAGGGGGUAGCAAUCAGAAGCGCAGCCCACAAGUAGGAGACAGAUUCAUCUGCAUUCCAAUAUGAUGAAGCAGGAGUGUUACACAUGUUCUAUGCUAUUUUACCUGAGAGAGAGCAGCAUGAGUGAUUAGUUGGCUAGAAUGAGUUUGAAGAUGAUGAUGUGCUACACUAUGACUAUGAUGAUUAAAUAGUUAGUGUUGGUGAUAAUGACUAUGAUGAUUAUUAUUAGCUAGUGUUGGUGGUGAUUAGAUAGCUACUGUACGUAGUGUUGGUGGUGUUUAGCUAGCUAAAUGAGUUUGAAGAUAAUGAUGUGCUACACUAUGACUAUGACCGAUGGUAAUGACUAUGAUGAUGAUUAGUUAGUAUAUACAAUAGUGGGUGAAAUGAAUGUUGAUUAGGUUCAAGUUGAGGCAACAUGUAGUGGUGCAUGUUGAAAGUAUACUAGCUAAUCAACAUUAAAAUAAGCAGUGCAUUCAGGAGUCCACUUGAACCUAAUCAACAUUAAUUUCACCCACUGUUGUAUAUACUAACUAAUCAUGGUGAUAAAAUCAUAUGAUGAAAAUACUGUAUAUAAAACCUAUACAAAUACAACGAAAAUAAGCUGCAAUUUAAAAAAUACAGAAAAAAUAAGCAGUUGUGCUUUUUGAAAAGAAACACUACUACUACUUACUACUGUCAGCAGCGCUUUUGAAGCAGCCGCGCUACUGCUAACUAGGUAUAGCAGUAGUGCUGGGAAACAGCGCUACUGCUACAUGUUAGUUGUAGCGCGAUAGCAGUAGCGCUGGUACCAGCGCUACUGCUAUGCAUAUUUCAAGCGCUACUACUAGGGUUUUCCUUAGUAGUGACAGUGGUAUCCCGAGCCCACUAGGGUUCAAGUCCUGGUGCUCGCAUUUAUCUUGGAAUUAUUACAGGAUUUCCGGCGAUAGUCUUGCAGUUGGAGGAGACGUUCCCAUCGACUACGAGGCGCUUACGAAGACUUCAUAAAAUCUCAAGAUGAUAUGCCGACUCGGUUUCUCGAAGAUUCUCAUAUGGGUAGGGAGUGCGUGCGUGCAUUCAUAGGGGUGAGUGUAUGCGUGUAUAUAUGAGUUGUACCGAUGUUAAAAAAACAAUGCGCGACUAAGCGAAUCAACCUGUGGUUGGAUGAUUAGGUGGACAGUGGUAUCCCUAGCCCACCAAUGUUCAAGUCCUGUUGCUCGCAUUUAUCCUGGAUUUAUUUUAGGAUUUUCAGCGAUACAUGUUAGCUGUAGCGCGAUAGCAGUAGCGCUCGCUACAAAAAAAAGACACAUCCGUGACAUUUUGGGCCGAACAAAUUUUUUUUCUGUCAUACAUAUGACACUUCUAUGACGAUAAUUGUGACAAAACCUGGUAUCAUCAUAGAUGUGGUGGGCUCCUACUUCUAUGACAAAAAAUCAUGACAGAAAAUAGGCUUUUCGUCUUGGGCGGGCCGGAGACACAGCAGCCUGACAUUUUUUGGGCCGUCCAUGACGAAAAAAACCGUGGUAGAAGCGAGGGGGAGGAAAAUUUCGGGGAGUUGCCGGUUACGGUGGGAGGUCGGGGGCGGAGCGAUGCGCGUUUCUCUCGUACGUAUGCGUUUGUGUGCGAGGCAUUGGCUCUAACUGAAGCUGAGCGAGGCGUUGGGCUCUAACUGAACUCGAGCGAUUGCACUGCAGGCUAUGCGUUACUGAACCCGAGCGAUCGAUCGAUGGCUGUUAACUGAACCCGAUGGAGCGAUUCCUUCGCUACUACUGCUAACUGAAGCCGAUCGAUGCUGCCUCUGGGAUGAACAGUGAGCGUUGCGAGGGGGGGGGGUUGGAUGAACAGUGAGCGGUGGCGUUGCCUCUGGAUGAACAGGAACCAGUGGUGUGGAGGGCUGGAUGAACAGUAGACAGUGGAGGGGUGGCCGUGGAGGGGUGGUUGAACAGGACCCCAUGGUGUGGAGGGCUGGAUGAACACUAGACGGUGGAGGGGUGCCCGUGGAGGGGUGGUUGAACAUUAGCCGGUGGAGUAGCGCGUGGUGGAGGCUGGAUGAACAGGAGCCCGUGGAGGCUGGAGGAGGUCGACGGUAGCCCGUGGAGGAUGGAGGAGGUCGAUGGUGGAGAUGAACAAUAUCCUGUGGAGUCCCGUUUUGCGGUACGCCACACCCCUCCCCCCUGUUUCGACCAUAGCGCUCCAACACAAGUCCGUUUCGUCCGUUUUGUGGUACGCCACACCCCUCUCGAUCAACAGGACCCCCGUUUCGACUGUAGGAGGUCCGUUUCCUCCGUUUUGCAGUAUGCUAGGCCCCUCCCGAUCAACAGGACCCCGUUUCGACCGUAGGAGGUCCGUUUCCUCCGUUUUGCGGUACGCCAGACCCCCACCCGAUGAAUAGGAUCCCAUUUGAACGUGGCCGGUCGAACACAAGGCCGUUUCCUCCGUUGAUCAGGUACGCCAGGCCUCGUUUCCAUGGCGUGUUCCGUCCAAGCCCUCCCGAUGAACACGACCAUGCAUUCCGUUCCGACCCAGCCAGUUGGCUCCCACGCGUUCCGUUGCCUCCCGAUGAACACGACGCAUUCCGUUGCCUCCCCAUGAACAGGACAAUGACGAUGUUUCUCCGUUCCGACCCAGCCAUGUACGUAUGCGCGAGUAGGCGUUCGAGACCCUGCCCGUAUGUACGUACGUGGCCAUAUUUUCUUUCUUGCACCCUCGCUGCUGUACGUACGUGUACAUGCUACGUGUGCGCCUCUACUACGACACGUGCGCGCCUCUACUACGACACGUGCGCGCCUCUACAUCGACCAGUAUGUACAUACACGUUCGCGACCAGGAUGACAACGCUACGUAUGCUUCGACCAGGUGGGUCCCGACUGUCAGGCACUUCCUUGCCUGCGAAGAUGUAGCUAGUGGGUCCCAGCAGUCAGGGGGGUGAAUCAUUUUUUUUGCCCGGACGCACUUCCUUGCAUGCGAAGGUAUAGCUGCUAGGUCCCAGCAGUCAGGGGGCAAAUUGUUUUUUUUUGCCUGGACGCACUUCCUUGCGUGCGAAGGUGUAGCUGCUGGGUCCCAGCAGUCAGGGGGGCGAAUAUUUUUUUUGCCCGGACGCACUUCCUUGCAUGCGAAGGUGUAGCUGGUGGUCCCCAGCAGUCGGGGGGCGAAUCGUUUUUUUCCGGACGCACUUCCUUGCGUGCGAAGAUGUAGCUGGUGGGUCCCAGCAGUCAGGGGGGCGAAUCGUUUUUUUCGGACGCACUUCCUUGCGUGCGAAGAUGUAGCUCGUGGGUCCCAGUAGUCAAGGGGCGAAUCAUUUUUUCGCAAAAUACGGUGGCCCGUCUGGUGGGUCCGCACUGUCAGGUGGAUGAAUAAUUAUUUUGCGCGUAAUAAGGAGGCACUUCCUUGCGGCUGCCGUGGACCCAGCUGUCAGCCUCUCCACGUACAGUCCACGUCCGAUGCAAGUCGUUCCUUGACCACAUUGACCACGCCGCGCCGAGAGCACCACGGCGGUGGACGACGUCGAGGCCUAGUAAGGGGACGAUGCCGAGCAGGGGAAGACGCGACAGUGGAUGCACACGCGGAGAGGAGUACGAGGGUUCACUGGUUCGGCUGCGCUGCCGUCACCGCAAAAUAACAGGGGGUGUGGGUCAGUGGGUGAGUGGAGGGAUGGCCUGGCCAGCGGUGGGAGUAGUAGGGGGCGGUGAGGCCUCCGCGGUAGCACAGCCGGCCACGGGAGGCAGUAGCAGUCGGCACGACCGGCGCUGCUUUGGGCGGCUGGAGCAAGAAGACCAGAGGUUGAAGAAGCACGAUGGCCGUUGGAUGGACAUCGUACGGUCACUGCAUCUAGAAUCGUUUAUAUUGACUAAGUUGACAAAGCCCUUGGUACGUCAACUUAGUAGGCCCACGGGUCAGCUUCCGAAACGGUGCACCCCAGAUGUCAAUCAUUUUUUGGGCGGGUGAAGCUAGAAUAUCCGAGAUUUAAGAAUAAGCACGACAUCCGUUGGAUGGACAUCCAACGGCCACUGCUGCUAGAACCGUGUGCUGACUAUAAGUUGACAAAGCCUUGCAUACCCGUCAACUCUGUUUUUUAGGGGACGCGUCAACUUAGUAAGGCCAGAAGUGUGUGGCAGAGAACUUAUAGCCCAUUUGAGAUUUGUAAGAAUGUGUAGCCCAUUUUUGAAUUCUAAUGGAAUUUAGUACAACCCAUUUACAGUUUGUUAAAAGUACAACCCAUUUCAACCAACCGUUCAAAACAGAAUUCAAUAAAAUUUCCCACAUUUUGAUGGGAUCCGAAUAUUUUUAUCCCAAAAUUUUAGUCAGAUUAAAUACAAUUUCAAUAUAAAUUUAUAUUGCGUAAAAAUACAACUAAACAUUCCGCUCGCAACAAUUAAUGAAAUUAAAAUUUUCAAUAUUCCAAAAAUAAUAUUUUAUAAAGUAAUCAUUGUUUGGUGCAUUUUUUAUAGUUAUUACCUAGUUUUUAUAAUUACAUCCCAUUUAUUAUUUCUUAAAGCCCAUUUUCUUGUUAAGCCUAAUGCAUCCCUCCUAGGAAAGAUUUGCAGCCCAGCGGGGCGGAGAAUAACAACUUGACCUUGCCUGGGUAUUCCUAAAAAAAGUAUAGCUGGGUUAGCCAUUUUCAGCUUGAAAAAAAUUAAUAUCUGGGCUGGAUAUCUGGCCUGGGCUAGACGGGCCACAACCCACCCAGUUAAUACCUGCAGCGAUGUUUUCGUUGUUGUUCAGAGGAGAAAUUUAAUAUCUGGGGUAAACAUCGAAAAACUCUGCAGUGCUCACACCUCAAAAACACAAAUACUGCUCGAGCUGCUUGGUCCCAGCUGUCGGCCGCUUCUUGUGCAAUUCUCUCGUUUAUUGACUACUCCCUCCUUUCCGGUUUAUAAUGCUCAAUUCAAAAAUCUCACCAAUCAAGGUAGAUGACGAGUGGUGGAAUACUUUUUCUAGUUUUGCAAAAGCACCUAAUUAAUGCUCUUGUUAUCCUCAAAAAAUAUGUUUAUUAAUGCAUUAAUUGCAAUGCAUGCAUGCAUAAAGUACAUGCAUUGGUCAAUUUUCUCUUAAUAUUUGCAUGCAAUGAUUUAAUGCACCUUGGAAUCUGAACAUGUGAUGGAAAACAACCAAAUUGAGCCUUAUAAAAUGGAAAAACUAAAAUUUUGAUAUAAGCCCAUAUAAACUGGAAAGGAGGGAGUACAUAGGUAGACAAUGGUGGGAAACCAAGAGGAAGCAAAAGGAAUUAUAGUUAUAUAUAUAAUAAGGAGGCACUUGCGUACGUGAGGCUAUGGACCUGGUGGGUCCCCAUUGUCAUCCUAUCCAAGUAAAGUGAUCUCCUCGCCCGCGCGCGCUUUCCGCCCGAAACAGUCAGCGCCGGCCGCCUCGCUUCCCGGUGCAGGCUAUUACUCCGCCUUCAAACAACACAAGUGCCGUCCGUCCAUCUGCCGCACACAUUAAUGAUACGCGGUUGCCGAGGCGGCUACUUCGGCGUCACACAUUCGUCCCUCCGCCCGCCCACCAUUGCUAUAUAAACUGCUGCACCGGCCAUAGCCGCAGUCAUCCGCAUCCGUUGCCUUUCUCCUGUCCACACCACUACCUCCCACCAUGGCUUCCUCGCGCUCCAGCGCUCUUCGAGACGGGCGGAUGGCGGACCACAAGGAGAUAGCAGCCAUUGCUGCCGACCGGCUGGCUGGCAGGCAGCCGGACGACGACGAUGUCCCAAUGGAAAACAUGGUAGUCGACGAUCCGGCGUCAACCCCCUCCUCCGCGCCAUCCUCGUCGGUGCAUUGCACCAUGACCAUUGGCGAGGCCCGUGCCCAAUAUAUGGACAGGGUGAGGCAAAUGCGUGAGGAGCAGUUCCGGGAGGCGCAGGCCGACGCCGCCUACAACCACCAUCUCCUCCAGGAGCACCUACAGGCAGAGGAGUAGAUCGCCGUGGAGCGGGCGGAGCAGGAGGUGCUGCUCGACUCGUACCGCUCCGCCCGCAAGGGCCGCCUCGAGCGCUGGCAGUACCGCAUGCGGGUGGCGGAGGCUGCGGCCGCCUACAAAGAGGCUAGCAAAGAGGGCGAUGAAGCAGGCGAGGCGCUGUUUGGCGAGACCGAGGACGAGGCAGAGGACAAUGCCGGCUCUGACGAGUCCCCGCUCCGUUGGCAUCGACGACACCCCGUUGCGCCAACAAUGAGGAAGAGAACACCGCCGGCUCCGCCGAGGCCCCGUGGCGCCAACAACGAGGCAGAGGACACCGCCGGCUCCACCGAGGCCCCGCCCGGCCAACAACAAGGCAGAGGACAUCGCCGGCUCAGCAGAGGCCCCACCCUACCGGCAACGUGGGGGAGGAUUUCCACCGCUCCACUGAGGCGCCGUCCGUCGACAAUGAGAUAGAGGACAUCGUCGGCUCCGCCGAGGCCCCGCCCCACUGCCAACGAGGCCGCGCCACAUAGAAAACGAGGAAGAGUAGAACACGGUAGGUCGCCGCCGCUCGGGUCCAAGUAAGGCCACCGCUGCUACCCUCCGGUUGAAGCCAAGCUAGGCGGGUUGACCAUUGACGGCCAAUUAGCUUCUUGGCAGCGACGUGGAGUCGAAGAGCUGCGCUGGAGAAGAACGCUGCUUCUACUUAACUGCUGGUGCAGUUGGCUGACUGACACGUGGGCCCAACAGGCCACAUGUCAGUGACGCAACUGCACCUGCAGUUAAGUCACUGAAGUUUCUGUUCGGCUCAGCGGGACACAUGUGGGUAGCUUCGGUUAAUUAAUUAUACCUCCAGCGCACCCCUUUUUAGUUUUUUUAGAAAAGGAGGAUGACCCCCAGCCUCUGCAUCUGGGAGAUGCAUGCGGCCACAAACACCCCUUUUUAGUUGAAGAAUGUAUGAAAUGUAAUUAAAUCUGGCAUGUUUAUAUGAAAUCCGACCGUGUAUGAAUGAAUUUAUUUCGAUUAGUUCGAAUUCAUGUAUCACUGGCAUUGGAUGAACAUGCAAAACAAUACGUACUAGCAUUAUUCCCAGGGUGAUCACCUCGUUUGCAACAGUUUCACAUGUACUCCCUCCGGUCCUUUCUAUACAAGUUUUCUCUGCAGUCAAAGUAUCUCUACUUUGACCAAUCUUAUACAAAAAAGUAUUCACUUUCACAAUGUGCGAAGUAAAAAGGAACAGAAGGAGUACAAAGAGUUUGAGCAGCUUUUUAGCAUUUCUGUACAUUGCAAUCAAACACACAGGGCUGGCAAUUCAUAGAGAACAUUCAAAACAAUCGAUGAUUAUGCAUCUCAGCGACUCACAUGUUAGAGGCAAUAUUUACUUCACAACUAAAGAAUAAAGAAAAAAUUGAUCGACGCUGCUGACAGCAAGGGCGUCUCAUUCGAAAAUAUCAAACGCAUGUCUUAAAAUCAAUGAGAAAAAAUUGACAAGGUUGUCCCAUUCCAAAAUAUCAAAUGCCUGCGAUUGUGGAAUGGGCAGGGUUUGCCAUCAGUUCGGACAUUGACAUGGCACCUCGUGCUAAAUAAACCAACUGUUCUUUUUGUGCAGUUCCACCAAAAUCAACCAAAUUCACGCGUAGCUUGUAUGAAUUCGCCCUUAUAUGUUGCAACGCCUUGAACUUAUCGGCACCUCCUUUCUUGUGGUGGAAAUGAAUGAUUCAAUGUAUUCAUGAACAUUUUGUGCAGUUCCCAUUGAAAUCAAGCCGAUCACCCCUGUUUGCACAAAUACAAAAAAGUGAUUAGUAUAAAGCAAAAUGUACUAUGAAUUGACAGUUUAAAUAGGCACCUACAUGGUCCAUGUAGAGCACACUUUUAGAAAAAUGGAACUCACCAGAAAGAAUCCUAGAACAACAUUGUACUCGUGCAUCACAGCAAAAAAAUGGAGAUUUGUCAGUCCUUCUGAGCUGAAGUUAGUUUGGUCUUGUGGGGAGUAAUGUAACCAUCCUUCAACUGCUCCUUCUGAUGAGAAUCCUAGAACAACAUUGUACUCACGCAUCACAGCAAAAAAAUGGAGAUUUGUCAGUCCUUCUGAGCUGAAGUUAGUUUGGCCUUGUGGGGAGUAAUGUAACCAUCCUUCAACUGCUCCUUCUGAUGAGAAGAUACAGUGCUUCUUCAUCAUGGCAUAAUCGAAACUAGUCAUUUCACGUACUCCAUAUUCUUCUUUAGAGGAAGAUGAUCCUAUUGUGCAAAGACAAGAGGACAACUAAAUGCUUGCAUCCCUAUUUGCUCGAAAAAAAGGAAAGGAAAUAUUUAAAACAACACAGAUGAAGCACUUCUCAAGGACAAUACCACUUUUUCAUGAUAGUAUCUAAACAGUAGCACAACGCUAAUAGAGAUGACAAAGCUCAAUCAUAUGGAUGAAUUAGUGGGCGAGUACCAACCUUUGUCAGGAGGCUGAUUGUGUAGAGCAUACAGAUGAAGCACUUCUCCGGAACCAUUUGUUGCUAUCUACUAUGGUGGCCAUGCUUACUAUAUCUUUUUGUGCAGUUCCACUAAAAUAUAUGGUAUCUUCAAAGAAGAUCCCUGUUUGCACAAGUAGAGAUAAUUACGUAUGGCAUCAAAUCAGUGGCAAAACAAUUUCUCGUUCCAGCCAUAGCAAUAAAUUAAGAUGCAAAACUAUAUCAUUACUUGUGUCAUCACAAUUCCAGUGCUUCAUUACAGCAUCGGGAGUUGAUUUUUGUUUUUCUUUUGCUUGUUCUUCCCCUUCAUCACUUGGUUCAAUAACAGACAAGCUUCGCCUUCAAUGUAAGAUUUGGCAUGUCAAUUAGGGAGCACAAGUAUAGUACUAAACUUAAUUUUCUGAUGAAAGUGGCAAAAUACAUGCCAACAGUUGUGAAAUAUCCUUAUCUUACCUCAAUGGGAUAUUACGGUGCACAUACAGAUUGGAAGUCUUGUCUCCAUUUGUGCAGUUCACUAAAAUCAAGCAACAUUAUCGUACAAGUAGCACAACAUAUGAAAGCACACUGCAGAAUCAUGUGAAAGAAGGCUAGUACUGACCUCUCAUGAUGCGGAAUUCAAACAACUCACAAGAAGAAGAUCUGGACCAAAUUCGCCUUAACGGAUAGGAAGUAAGAUCUUCUCUUGUGCAGUUCCACUAAGAUCAAGCAAUCAAGCAACGUUGUUGGUGUGACAUUUUGGUUGAACUGCACAAAAUAGUCUUAAAACAAAAGUGUUUUGUGCAGUGCAACAAAAGGUCACCAUGGCAACGAGGUGAAGUAGAUAACCCUGUUUACACAGAGGUGCAAAGGAAACAAUUAGUGGUCAAUAACGGUGGAUGUCACAGAAGCCAACAAAAAGAAGCAUCUACCUUAUCGAAAUGGGAAACAAAGCAAUACAGUAGCAUUUCUCAAACGGUGGCAUUGAUUAAUAUUAACAUAGAGAUUAUAUUAACAAUAAAAUUCGUUAAACAUGUAAUUUGCUUUUAACUGUGGCAUUGCAUCAUUUUUCCAGCGGCAUUAUUAGAGGGUGUUUGUUUAUAGGGAUAUUUUGGUGUAGGGACUAAAAAAACUCCAUGUCAGUCACAUCUAAACCAAACAAGAGGGACUUUUCGGGACUAAAAGUGGGCAUUUGGGACUAAAGAAAGAAGACCCCGAGGGAGUCUUUUUGGGACUUUUUCCAACAGUUUCCCCUGCCACGCAUCGCACCUUGUUUCUGUUAGUUCAUUACUAGGGGUAACAUGGUCUUUUAUCAUGUCAUUUAAUAACCUCUAGUCCAUGUUUAGUCCCUGGAACCAAGUAGGUAGGGACUAGGGAGUUUUUAACCAAACAGGGCCAUAGAUUAACAACAACUAAUGAGUUGUACAGGACAGUGGACGCACCAGCACCAUGUGCAUCUACCGAUGUACUGUGGUCAUGCACAGUCUGUUGCAACAAAGAACAAACAACCAAGGAGCAUAUUUGUGUUGGUGCCAGUUUUGUUAUCUUUAGACACCUUUCCCUAUGUGAGCACACCAAAUCUAGUCCUGCUCAAACUCUACAGCCUUGUCCCUUCCUUUCCUUUUUGAACUAGUACUUUCGCCCCUUCCUUUCCUCUUUGAACCACGUCCUAGAUUUAUGCGAUACAACUUUCCCCACUACUUUCCCCCAUUCCUUUCCUCUUUGAACCACGUCCUAGAUUCAUGCUAUACAACUUCCCCCCUUCAUUUCCUCUUUGAACCACGUCCUAGAUUCAUGCUAUAUACAACUUUUCCCACUACUUUCCCCCACUCCUUUCCUCUUUGAACCACGUCCUAGAUUCAUGGUAUACAUGCAGCUAGAGCAAUGCAUGUGGAGCAAGUAAAAUAUACCUUAAGGUUCUUGGGGCGUGGUUCGGUGGGCGACGGGACGGCGGCGAAGAAUAAGUGUCGGAGGCCCUCCCGCGCCGCCGCUGGGUGGAAAGUGAACAACAGCGCCGGUAGUGGAUUCCCUCCCUCGCCGACGGCGAUAGCGUUAAGCCUCCUUCCCUUCCCGGGGACGGAUCCUGCCGGCUCUUUGAGCAGCAGUGAGGGGAGAGAGAGGCCAACGAAGUCUUGUUUAGAUCUGGAGAGGGCGAGAGAGUGUGAAGAGAGCAACUACAAGUGCUGAGGAUUCAGUGGGAGAGGGCGAGAGAGUGUGAAGAGAGCAACUACAAGCGCUGAGGCUCCAACGUGUAUAUAUAUACUGGAGAGAGAGUGUGAAGCGUGCAAACCCUAGAAAACAUUUUGACCAGUCAAAGAAUCCUCCUGGCAAAAAUUAUGCUCAAGUUUAGUUAUUGAACCCGAGACCUCAAGUUUGAUGAGCAAACAGGCUAACCAGCUACACAACCCUCCCGUUAUGUUCCACGAGAGGAAAAUAACCUUUUAUACAUUCCUGCAUUCGUGUGAGAGGCAUGCCGUGUUUUUUUUGUGUGUGUAUGGGAGUCAUUAGGAUUUCAAUCAUAAUCGUGUCAUGUGGCUUUGGUGGUAAGACUAUCCAUAGUGGUGUAGAAAUAAUGCAGCCUUAGUCAGCUUACCUCUCUCCAUGUAGUACGUUGGGUCCCACCAGUCAGAGGGUGAAACAAACAAAUUAAUAAGAAAAAUUAAAAGCGCCAGCGGUGUAUCUUACUACCUCACACAUCUCGCUACUGCUCGGGAACACUAUCCAAUUGAUCCCUCUAUUCGCUCACAUGCACACAAAUUUUGGGCACUUGUAUUCAACUUAAGUCAGUGUGCCACUGUAUCUCGUAUACUUACUACUCCCUCUGUCUAGGUGUAAUAAUUCACGUUAGAAGGUGCAACGGGACCAAGGUGCGUGCGUGUGCGUGUGUGUGUUUAACAGCAUGUGUGUGUUAGAGAGUGCGACAGAUUGACCUAGUCCUAUAGAGAUAUGGUGUGUAGUGUACGAUUUUAGCCGCGAGAGUUGGUGCAUCCUCUCAUUUCCGGGCGUGUCCGGUAGGGACAUGCCGACAGCUGCCACGCCUGCUCCUGACUAGCCUGGACCACCCUAAGCCCCUCCACCGCCCGCGCGUGCUUCCUGCCCGAAACGGUCAGCGCCGCUCCAAAGAAUCGGUGCCGCAUUCAUGCCCGGGCAGAGCAGACGUGACCUCUCACUAGCGGAAGAGUGAUGGUUGCUUCGUCCGUCCAACUUACUGCCGGGUCUAUGUGAUUUGACGGCUCAUUGGUCUUUAUUACUGAGGUGGUAGGACUGCUAGAUGUCCCACGCAUUCGGCGAAAGGAGGUAGUAGAUUACAAUUUUCUCCAUUCUUACAGCAGAGGAGUGCAAGAUCAGUGAAAACACGCAGGCUCAGUGAUUACAUGGCCCACCUCACACUAUCACCGUGCAACACCUAACUCUUUACAUAGUACUCCCUCCGUUCCUAAAUAUUACUAGAUGAGUCCCCGCUUGUUGCCACGGAACAGCGGUAUAUCUCUCUGCGCAAAAUUAUCGAUUUCACAGAACUAAAAAAAAUCUAUAACCGCAUGACAAAUGUGGUAGCCAAACUAAAUAAACUCCCAUCAUCAUUUAGAUCAUCCCACAUAAGGAAAAAAGAUUAGCCAACUCCUACUGCAUAAUGGGAUUAUAUUUUUCUUUUUGACAUGUUAAUGGGACUUAAAAGCUCACUUACAUGCAUGCUACCGGUGCAUGCUUGCAUGCAGACAUGUUGAUGUGAUUUAAAACCCACUCACAUGCAAGUGCCACGGUAUUUCUGCAUGCUUGCAUGUGGCUUAGUGCUGAGCCUCUCAACGUCUAGAUCAGACGGCUAUUAUGACUGAUUUACUUCAUCUAACGGCUACGUCAAUUGAUGAUGUGGCUCAAGGAGAGGAUAGAGAAUUCCUAGUAUUGGGGGCUAGCUAUUACUAGUAGAUAAGUCUUUGUAGAGAUUCCACUAGGUGAACUACAUACAGAACAAAAUGAAUGAAUAUACACUUAAAAUGCAUCUAUAUACAUCCGCAUGUGGUUAAUGGUGAAAUCUCUACAAAGACUUAUAUUUAGGAACGGAGGAAGUACUAGUAUAGUACUAGUACGUACUGUAAUUUAUCAGCGAGAUAAAUUUGUACAAUGCUAUGAAGCUUCCAGCUCCUGUUACAUGUAUCUUGCGUCCAAGGUUGCCCAUUGCAACAUUUCAUCAAAUACAAAGGAGACUAACAUGCAUGCUAUUGCAUCUCAAUGAUUGACAGAUCAUAGCAAAUAUGUACUCCCUCCGUUCCAAAAUAAGUGUCUCAACUUUGUGCAAACUUUAGUACAAAGUUGUACUACUACUAAAGUUGACACUUAUUUUGGAACAGAGGCAACUAAAGAAAAAAACGAUCCAUGCAGUCCCUAGCCCUUGAACCGUGAACCCUGACCAGACUUCAAUUUGCUGGCAACAUUUGAGCUUCCUAAUAAAUGAAGUUUGCAACCUUUUGACCAUCGGAUUAUUUUGUGCAGUUUCACCAAAAUCGAGAUGAGCAUCCCUGUGGCAAAGAAAUUGAAGAAGCGUGAUUAGAAUAAGAUUACUAGGACUAGUUGAUGAGACAUAAACUCAUCACAAAUAUAGUACGUAGAAGCCAGUAGAGGUAUCAGGUAUGUGCGGGGCAAAGAAGUAGAGAAAUAUCCACAAGGAGUGAUGUGGGCAGCUGGAGCAGUGGUGCAAGCCGGCUGUAAAGGGAGUUGUACCUGAGGGACGUAGCUCGACCUUGAGGAGGGUGGCGGGAGGCGGCAACUGCCCACGUCACGGCAGUGAGCAAGGGACGAAGGCAACCUCACCGGCUUUGUGAGAGAGAACGGCGGGGACCACUGAUCGGGACGUGCCGACAGUGGGUUUUCGCCGUCGCCGACGGACACCGCAUCUACACUAAGCAUCCACCCCUUCCCCAAGCGGACGUGAUCCGCCAGGAUGUUAGAGAUGUGGCCAUAGUCGUUUUGUGCGAGAGAGUGUGAAGAGAGCAACCCCAGCAAGCAACCGUGUAGGCUGGCCCGUCCUGACUAUGUAUAUAGUGGAGCGGUUUCCUUUUCUCUCCAUAUGAACCUAUCAUAUUGCGUACGUGCCACUGAAGAAAAAAAAUUAUUUAUAAAUGACGCGGCACCUACUACUCGUUCUCCUAUAACCUUGCGCUUGGCAUCUCCAAAAUAUUAACCUUGCGAUUGGCUCUUCGCCUCAUCGGGAAGUCGAGCAAUAAUGGUAGUGCAGUAUAUAUCGUUCUGGCUAUAUGAGACCGAAUGAAUUGCUGCACGUCCACCACGUGGGCGAGGGUCGAGGGGCGAGGGAGAGUGCUACUACAUACGGAGCAAAAUGAGUGAAUGUACACUCUAAAAUACAUCUAUAUACAUCAGUGUUUGGAGUAUGUACUAGUAGUUCAUAUUGAAAUCUACUAAGGACAUAUAUAUUCCAAACAAUAUGAUAUAAUCUCUAUAACCAAGGUAGUAGGGACGAGUAGUAAACGGAGGGAGUAGUAAAAUUUUCUCCACAUCCUGUGAGCCACCACGCACAUGGGCGAGGGAGGAGCAAGCUUCACCUCAUCCUGCGAGCCACCGCGCCCGUGGGCGGGGGAGACGGCGUACUAAGCAAGCUUCUCCUCGUUCUGCGAGUUGACAUGACACAUCAAAAGUACUCCAGUGUAUAGAGCCUUGCCUCUAAGGUAGGCCCCACAUGGUUUGCCUCUUUUUUUAAUUUAACAUAACGCGUCAAGUCACAAUUUGUUUGUUCACCCGUGGUAGACGAUCCUCCCUCCACCAAGUGGACAACCAGUACAUGUGCCAAAUUACCACGUGGGCUGCCUUUUUCAUACAGAAAUGAGCUCCACCGUGUACCCGCGCGGGUGUGGUUGGGAAAGAGACGGGAGUACGUGCGCCGUGCAUGCACCUCUUCUCUUCGUGCACGUCCCCCACCUACGUCGGUGCGUGUGAGAGAUACAAAACGCGUUCGGGAGUGUUUUUUGUUUUGUGGUGGAGGUGGGGGUGGGGUGGGGGUUGAUUUCGUGAAUUAUUUGUGGGAAUAUGUGUCGAUGACAUCUCAAACAAAAUUUUGCAUGCAAUGUGUGUGAAAUGGAGGCCUAUCCAUAUCAUACAUAGCGGGUCGGGCAAUCCACGAGAAGAGAGGGAGGGGUCAUAGCUAUCGAUAGAGUCGAAGAGAGGAUCAAGUACGGGUGGGUGCGAGAUCGAUGAAGGGAGCCAUCGAAAUUGCGUGUGUGUCUGUGUGCAAGUCAAAGAUAUAGGGCGACUGGCCUACCGGAAUGUUAGAGGGCACAUGUCAAGUUUGUGUGUGGCAGGGAGACAUGACUAGAGCGCUUGAUGUAUCAGUGUGUAUGGGGGUAGGGGGUGGGGGGAGGGGUAGGCAGAGGCCUAACUAUAGAGGUAGAACGACUCGUAUAUGUGUUGAGAGGGAGAGACACAGCUAUGUCAUGAGGGAGAUCGGUCGACAUCCAUACAUAACUGAAGGACGGGAAAUAUGAUGGGACAGAGAGAGAGAGAGAGAGGAGAGAGAGAGGGAGGGAGAGGGAGGGAGAGGGGUAGAGUGCUGGAUGGGUGAUGGAGUUGCUUCUUGGAGAUGUUGGGAGAGGCCUACUAGACAAACUGAGGGUGGAACUGCAAUGUUAUCAAUAAGAGUGGGGAUGUGUUUUUGUGUGUGGCUGUGCAUGAUAGAUCUAUCGGGACGCAUCCAUGGAUGAUGAAGGUGAACCAUGUGUUUGGUAAGCAAAGCUAACUAGAUCGGUAGAUCAAUUGUUGUUUGUCGGAGGAAGGGAGAGACACAACUAAUGAGGUAGAUCGAUCAAUGUGUGGGUAAAAACGAGUUAUAAGGACCUAGUUGGCUAUAUGUAUAGCGAGAGAUCGAUCGGUGUACGUCCAUUUGUUAGAGGCAAAUAAGGCCCAGUGAGACGGAUAGACAGAGAGAAUGGAGCUAGGAGGUGGUGCGAGAGGCCCAACUACUAGCUGGAUAGGGGGAGGAGUGUGCGGUUGUGAGAUCGAUUAAAAGAGGGGUGAGAGUUUACACAUGUGUCUGACCAUAUGAGAGACACGAGGCAAGGACACAUAAAGGAGGAGAUUGAAGGUGUGUGUGUAUGCUGUAGGCAGGCAUCGCUGGAGAGGUUUAUCGAUCAGUGUGUGUCGGAAAGGAGUUGUGGAGACUCUGCGAGAAUGACCUAAAGGAAAAAAUGAAUGUGCUCGGUGGAUAGAAUGCCGAGGGAGGGGGAGGGCGAGGAGGGCGUGUGCAUGCACGAGAGAAAGUAGUGGUAGCUACAAAGGUUAGAGGACUGUGUGGGUGUAAGAGACUAACAAAGAUAAUAAUUUGAUAUGAAAGCAGAUUCAUAUAUUUGAAUAGGAGAUCAUAGUGUUUUAAACAUUGCAUGCAUGAAUAUAGUGGUGAUACACGUGUUGUGCACAUGUUAUACCAUAAUGUGAUAAUGCAUGGCAUUUGCAACUCACAGCUAAAUGCCGAACAAUCUAAACCAUACUAUACAUCAAACAAUCUCACAUUUUAUUUGAAUUUGUGAUAAUGUGCGGCGUUUGCAGCUUACAACUAAAUAUCGAGCAAUCUAAACAAUACUAUAUAUCGAACAUUCUCACAUUUUAUUUGAAUUUGUGGUAAUGUGUGGUAUUUGCAACUCACAUCUAAAUACUUGUAGGCGUAGGGGGCGGGGCACCAUACAUAACGUGAUAAACACAUUAUACAUAUGAGACAGGGUUUAGAUUAUGAAGAUCUAGCUAGAGCUAGAAAUAUAAUGUGAUUUGAAAUCAAAAUAAAGUGGAUUCAGAAAAUCUAGUUCGAGUUCAUAUAGUACACAUAGUUCAUAUGUAACUCGAUACUGAUCAUGUGGUGUGCUGUGAAGAUAAUACACAAACGAUGGUUUAACUUGACAAUAAUGAUGAUUGUAGAUCUUAUUAAAACAGAGAAACAAAUUCAAAUGCUUUGACUUCACAACAAUCAUUACUGUAGAUCUUAUUCAAAUUUAGUUCAUAUUGAAGCGGUAGUAUAUACGUUUGGAAUGCACUAAAACGUUCACUUGAGUAGUAGCUUGCAUGCAUUAUACACGUAGCGAAAUAUUUUAAUUGAACAUAACAUGAAUUCAAAGUUUUAAAUGACAUUUGUAGUGCGCAUUGAUUUGGUACAGUACACGUUAGGCUUGUCCGGAAAUUUCAACCCGUGCCUUGUUAGCCCGAAAUAUUUAAGAUAUAUCUUUGUCUCGUUGUGCUCCGACAACUCCCUCCAUCUCAACCGCGCCUUGCUAUUCCGAAAUUACAAUGCGCGCGAGAACUCCCACCUCCUGUGAAAUCCCGACACGUGAAAUGCCCGUGGUACCCCUGAACCGAAAGAACCGCCUCAAAUGAGUGGGGGAUACUUUCGUAACUUACUCCACAUUUCGGACAAGCGCGUCUCUAAGCCAUGGUUCCCCACUGUCAUCCCAUCUGCCCACCCAUUCGUACACCGAGGCUGUGAAAACCCGCGACGAAACCCCACACCUUCCUCCGUCCGCCACCCAGCCGGAGCUUCUUCCCCGACGACGUCGUCCACAGCAACACCUCGACGUCCCUCAUCCACCGUACCGGAUGAGGAUCCGUCGUCGAUCUCAUAGUCUAGCCGGUUCAGCCACCCCGUCCUCCACCUCCAAGGAGCUGCCCCGAUGUUCCCCUCAUCUUUCGCGCCACCUCCAUUCCCACACCGCCGUCUUCACCUGCACCACCGGAAGAGCAUCAUCAUCACCGUUUCCUCGGAUGAAGCUGCGGCCUAAUCAGUGCCACCUAAGAGGUUGUACACUAAUCGCUGCAUUUUCUUCUUGAUUUGAUCUCACGGUGCUGCCGGCGUUCGGUCCCGAGCCGACACAGCGCAACUCCAUCCACGGCGGCGUCGCCGGCCACUUCCUCCGCGACGUCGCUCCCUCGGCGGCGAUGUCCACAUCAGUAGGAGCUGAUGUUGCUUUAGCUCUCGCUCGCGCUACUGCUCUGCUCUUGCUCUCGGUCCCCUGCCUGGUCUGCUCUUGCUAUUGCUCUUGCUCGCGCUGCUGCUCUCGCUCUUGCUCUUGCUUGCGAUGCUGCUCCGAUUUGGCUACACUUUAGUCGACUGAAUCGACUUUUGGGUCAGUCGAUUUCCAAGGGGUGGGCUCGCCUGGGUGAAGGAAGAACUAGCCGCAGCAGGGAGGGGAGCUCGCCGGAGAGGUACCCCACUAUCUAUCUUAGGGUUCAGGAUGGGGGCGGCGUCGCCGGCGGUGGCAGGGCGUUGGCGGGGCGGUGGCGUGGGGAUCGCCGGAGAAAAAGCUUGGCACGGGGGGCCUAGAGGGAUGGCCGGGGCGGCGGCGGACCGGCGGUGGGGAGUGUUUUCGGGGCGGGCGGGGCGGCGCACCGCCGGCCGCGGGCGGCGGGGGGCUGCUGUUUGGCCGGUGGUGGCUGGCGGCUCAGGAGGGGUGGAGGUUGAAGAUGAACCGCAUGCCCAUGAUUUCGUAUCCAACGGCUGCAAAAUCGACUGACCAGAGAUGAAAAAAUUCAUUCGACCGACCUGUAGCCUCACCUUGCUAGUGCGUUCAGUUUCGACAGCAAAAUUUAGUUUCGGCAACAAAAUUCAGUUUCGACCGCAAAAUUCAGUUUCGACAGUUAGGUUCAGUUUCGACAGUUAAGUUCAGUUUCGACAGUUAAGUCCAGAGAUGAGCGGAUGAUGUAUUUUACAUCUAGCACUUUUUGGUUAUGUAUUUUACAUCAUGUAUUGGAGAUGCUAUUAGAAUUCCACUCAGGUUAACGUUGUUCGUUGUCUCUCUUGUCCUGCUUCAGCCUCGGCGUCGUACAACUCACCGGAGCUGCUCCAACGACGAAACCCUCCAUCACAGCGGAGCAGUACCUCGGGCUCCAUCUCCAGACGCCUAAGAUCUUCUUCCCCUCCUCCGACAGCAAAGUCAGCCGGAGCAUCCUCACCGGCUAACCCAAUCACGCUGAGAUCGACAUGGCUUAGCCAAAGAGGUUGUACACUUGUUGCAUCUCUUUUUUACUGUACAUGUUAUAUAUAUUGUCCACUGAGCACACGGAUUUGUUCCUUUAGUGUCUCCUUGAAAGAAAAAACGUAGGAAUUUUAAUUUUCACUUGUCCUCCUUUUCAAAUUCCUAUUCAUGAAGCACAAGACUAAGAGAUAGUAGCAUAUUAACAUUAUAACCGUACAUUUUCUUGUGGUUUGACUUAAUCUCACCAUGCUUCUUUGCAUCUUGUGAUCUUCCAAUUGUUGUGAAUCAAACACCCAGAUUGGCAGAAAUCCUGUGUUUUUAAAUUCCCUGUUUUGCACGUGCAUUCCUAUCAUAUUCCUGUCUAUUUCCUAUCCCUGCAUUGUUGGAAUCCUCCAAUUCAAACGAGCCCUUACAGAAUUACUUCUCUUACAGAUAGUUGUCAAAGAAAACCUUGCAUGGUUUGUCCCGGUCCUGCUGCGCCGUCGUCCAACCCAACUCAGCUGCUCCAACGAUAGAAGGGUCCAGCAGAGCAGGGAUCCGGCCUCCAGACUGUCUUUCGCCGCCUCAGAUCUUCUUCCCCGCCGCUGGCAGCCAUGAAAACUGCAUUACCAUCAUCAACCGAGUAGAUGACCUCAAGGACUACACGGGUCCGCAAGAGAGGCCACACUCUUUCGUGUCUGCUUAUGUUAUGCAUCGCUUAAUAUUACAUGCUACUUUAUCGUCCUGUUCACAGAUUAGACUCUGAGUUAGCUCCAAACUAAUGGUCAAACUUGAGUUUUUAAAUGGUUGUGGGGUACAUAUCGGGGCCGCUAUCAAUAGUAUCUAUCUACUAUCUGGUUAAUCUCCGGUGUCUACUAUGAGUUUCAUGUUGGGUGGAAAACAAACAGUAAAAAAGCCAUUAUCUGUAUUUAUUAACUGAACCAUUAUCUGCCUGCUAUUAUUGGUUUUGGGUCUAUCCACAGGUUGCUACCAUCACUCUGGAUUUCUGCAUGCACUCCUUACAUAAUCUCGCUAUGUUUUAUUCCUAUGCAUGACAGUUAUUGUAAACAAUGGAACUGAACAUGUAGAGCAAAAGAGACGAGCCUUGCGUGGCAAUAUAAUUUCAUGCAGACGUCGCUCCAUGGUAGGCACAAAGGCAGCCCCCCUCCACGCAUUUCGGAUUGUAAUCGAGAGGAAGAUAUCUGUUCUGUGGGGGAUUCAGAAGGAGAAGAUAACUCCUAUUUACCCCCUGAGGUCUUCGCUGUAACUUGGCAUGAUGAUGUUGGUUAUAUCAUGCAUAUGGUAUCUUGCAUUGCUUACUUUAUACAUCAAAUAUGUCAUCUGCUUAGUUUAGACAUCCUUUGUGCGAAUGCCAUCUGUUUAGUUUAUUCAUCGUUUAUGUGAAUUAUGCAAUGCCACCUUGUUUAGCCAGACAUCAUAUAUGUGAAUUUUGCAAUGCCAUCCUGCUUAGCCAGUCAUCUUAUAUGUAAAUUAUAUCAGGCCAUCUUUUUUUUUCGUUACAUAUUACAUUCGUCAACAAUGUUAGUACAUUCAACUGCUCUUUGUGUGCAUCAGCCAUUUGACAUGGUGAUGGCAAAUUCUGGAGUGAAAACAAGGUCUUCUGAACAGACUAUGCUAUCUGACGAAGCGCAUAUCUCGCUGGUUACGGAUAGCUCCUCAGAGGAGGAUUCAGAGACAAAUGACUAGUCCUAUCCCCCCCCCCCGAGGUGUAUGCUCUAACUUGGCAGGGUUAUGGUGUCUCACAUUGCUAUGCCAUUUGAUUAGUUUAGACAUGCUUUGUGUGAAUGCCACCUGUUCAGUGUCUAACUACCAUAUAUGUGAAUUAUGCAUUGCCAUCUUGUUGCAAGACAUUAUAUAUGUGAACUAUACAAUGCUAUCUUGUUGCAAAGGCAUUAUAUAUGUGAAUUACGCAAUGCCAUGCUGCAGUGGCGGAGCUACAACCAAAUAGUUGGGCGGGCCAACGUAAAAGAGAACACAAAAAAAAUCACAACUUAAGCCAUACUACUUGGAUGCUACUAGGUAUAUUAAUCUAUGCUCACUAUAAACCAGACUAGGCUGUAACAGGAACAAGUCCCUCCUGCAUAUUCAUGAGGAAAAGUCAGCCUCUCAUACGCGUUCAGGCUGCUGACGCAUGACGCCUCACACUCACCGGGCAUAGUAAUUUACCUUUUGGCUUUUGGGUAGGGCGGGCCACAGCACGCUUUUGCCUGCACGUAGCUCCGCAGGUGCCAUGUUGUUUAGCCAAUCAUCAUGUAUGUGAAUUAUAUCAUGCUAUCAUUUUUUUGUAUUACGUGUUCCAUUUGUCGACAACAUUUUUAUAUUCAACUACUCUUCCUGUGCAUCAGCCAUUUGAAGCGGUGAUGGAAGUAUCCGGAGUGAAAACAAGGUAUUCAGAGCAGACAAUGCUACUUGCUGAAGCAAACAUCUUGCUGGCUACAGAGAGUUCCUCAGAGGAGGAUUCAGAGACUGAUGACCAGUCCUAUUUCCCCCCUGAGGUCUAUGCUCAAACUUGGCAGGGUUAUAUUACCCAUGUCAUGCAUGUUGUCUUGCAUUGCUUAGUUUUUACAUCAUAUAUAGAUUUCCAUCUGCUUACUUGCUUACUAUAUAAAUCAUAUAUUUGAAUUAUAUCAUGCCAGCAUGUUUACAUAGUACAUACACAUCAUCUAUCUGAAUUAUGGCAUGGCAACCCAUUUAAUAAAUACAUCAUAUAGUUAUAUCAUCUCAUCAUGUUUAGUGUUUACAGUCAUCAUAUUUAGAACUAUGGCAUUCUAUCCAUGAAUGUAUGUGAAUUAUGGCAUGCCAACCUAUUUAAUAAACACAUUAUAUAGUUAUGUCAUGUCAUCCUGUUUACAUAGUCUCAUAUUUUGAACUAUGUCUUUCCAUCUUUUUUAGUUAGCCAUCAUAAUGUGAAAUUGUGUCAUGCUAUCCUGUUUAGUUAGCCAUCAUAUAUGUGAAAUUGUGUCAUGCUAUCCUGUUUGGUUAGACAACAUAAAUAUGAAUUAUUUCAUGCCCUGUUUUAUUCCCCACUAUCCAUUGCACCUGUCUAUCAUACAAUGUCUAUACUUUCAAUUACUUUUCUUGUUUAUCAGCCAUUUGAAUUGGAGAGCGUGAUGGCAGUAUCUAAGGGAGUAACAACACGGUCUUCAGAAAAGAUAGUGCUACCAGUUGACGCAGAUAGAACCAUGGUUGUACUUGCCCAAGGACCAGAUCCACCACACAUAACCCAGACUCUCGCAGAUUGUACCCCUACCCAGUUGGACAAAGAACCAGCUACACCCCUUUUAACCCCAAUCCCGGUAGAUAGUAAUCCAGUUCCAGUUGACACAGCACCGUCUCCACCACAGAGCACCCAAACACGAGUGGUUAGUAAGCGAACUGCAGUGCCCAAAGCACGAGGACCACCAGUCCGAAUCCCAACUCAACGCUUAAAGGAGAAGAAGAUUUGUUCUCAGGUCAGGUUCUGUAGCUAUGGUUCAUACUCCUUUGCUCUUGCAUUACUGUAUUUACUCAUACCAACUAUUUUCAAAUUUGAAGGAUGGAAUUGAAACUCCAAUGGCGCAACAGGUAUGUUUUAAACCUGUUUCUUUAACUGGUUUGUUGUUGUAACCUGCUCUAUGUUGAUUUCAGUUUCAAUUGAUUAAACAGUUAUGUUCUCAUGUCAUGCACAUUACAAGUGUUGUUAUUGCUCUAUAGUUACCCACACUUAUAUUCUAUCUAUUCUGCUUUGUCUUGAACAAAUAUUAUUUGAACUGUGUCUCUAUCUUGAUUUGGUAACAAAAACUAGAAUGAUAUAGACCAUAAAGUGACCAUGGCACAUAGAUAUAUGUUUGUUUCAUGCUGUUAUCCUGUCCACUUUACUACUGAACUCAUUUACCAAAAUGAGUUUCAUAUACAACAUGGUAAACAUGUGAUGUGUCUGCUUGUUUCUCUUUUAGAAUGCAGACAAAAUAUUGGAGAACAGUACCGCGUUAUCCAAUGGUAAAGGAAGUAAUGCAGAUAAGGUUCAAGAUAGUGAGACAUCCAUGUUGGUCUACAAGAAAGCUGAUAAAAACUAUCUUGAUGACAGCGAGGGAACCCAAAAGUCCUGUCUUGAUGUAGUGUUCGAGUUACUUGCCACUACUGCUGGCACAAGCUCUUCGAACUCGCUGCCUGAAUCAGUUCGUCUUCUUGAGUCUCAACUUCAAGUUGAAAGACAUCGAUCAGAUGUGCUGCGACAGGAAGCUGAAAGACUGAGGAAGUCCCUGCAGAAUUCAGAUGCAUAUUUUCUGGUGCAACAGCACGCGCUGGAGGAUUUAAGCGCCAAACAAGAGAAAGUUAAUAAGCUUGCUAAGCAUCUUGCCAGCAUUAUGGGUACCCAAGAUAUUGUUUCUUGAGAUCUUCUGAAGUGGUUUCAGUUCUGGAUUUGUUUUGCUACGACGUUUAUUUGCGCUGGUCGCCAACUUUGACAACCAGUGUAUAUGAUAUGCUGCUUUAUUCCCUACAUUUACACUGGUGGCGAACUUUGAUGCCCAGUGGAUGUAAUAUGUGUAACAACCGUGAUAGCCUAGCAUACGUUGCUUGCUUAUUUAUUUCCUUGUUGUCUUGUUUAUUUAUUUGCUUGUAGUCAGUGUGGUUCUUUUUAAAACUAGGCCACAUAACCAUGGGCUAAUAUUUACUGUAGUGACACUGGGCCUCCUACGGGCCGUAGAAACAGUGGGCCUUCUACGGGCCAUAGAAACAGUAGGCCUUCUACGGGCCGUAGAAACAAUGGGCCUUCUAUGGGCCGUAGAAACAAUGGGCCUUCUACGGGCCGUAGAAACAAUGGACCUUCUACGGGCCGUAUCAUCAAUGGGCCUUAUACGGGCCGUAUGACCAUAACGGGCCGUCGUUAAUAGGCCGUAUUUGAUGAUGCUAUGAAAACGGCCCAACGUAUUAACGGACCACAAACGGGCUGAUGUAACCACGGGCUGAAUUUGGCCCACAAGCAGAAAAUGACAGUAACGAGUCGUAAGUAAAUGAAUGAUGGAAAUGAGCCCAAGAAUAAAUGGGCUCUCAGAAGGCCGAAAGAUAACAUUUGCUGGAAACGGCCCAACUGAAUAACGGGCCCUUAAUAGGUAUAAAGUGAUAUACUGUUCAUUAUGGGCCAGUUUCACCACGGGCCGUUAGUGGGUGUAAAGUGAUACACUGUUCAUUGCGGGCCAGUUUCACCACAGGCCGUUAAUAGGCCAAGAGUUACAUAGGGCCUCAUAUGGGCCGAAAGACGUCAUGGGCCAUACAUGGGCCAGAAGUGAAAACGGGCUGGAAUCAUAUUGGAUGGCCCAGAUGAUGCUACUGGGCCUAAUUCAGAUAGGGCGUAACGGGCCUUGGGUUAGCGGGCUGUAAAUGGGCUAUAUGCGAACAGGCCGUUAACAGGCUUUCCAUGGGCCGGCCUGCCACCUUUUGACCAAGUCAAACGGGCCGGCCUUUUCACAGGAAUGGGCCUCUGUUGGGCCGUGCCACGUGUCGAUGUAUCAUAGGCGGCUUCUGUCCAAUGAGUGGAUGGCAUCUGUCCCAACGGUGAGCCGACACGUGUUUCCUCCAGCCAAUGAUGAUUUUACACGUGGAAAAUCCCCAUUGGUCGGGGCUGUUAACGGGUUAUCGGAUCCAAAACCCAACCCGAUAGCUUAACGGCGUUCUGUUACGGUGGAUGCCACGUGUCGGUCACCCUUGACGAAAGUAGUUCUGUGACGUGCGAUUUAUCGUCAUGGAAGUGGACACUUCCGUGAUGAUAAUUUUGAUAAUGUCAUCGAACACUUCUACGACAGUACAGGUAUGACUAUCUUGAUUCUGUCAUAAAUUUGUCAUGGAUGCACAUGCAUGACAAAAAACGCGACCUACUGUGACCAACACGUAUCAUCACGGAAGUGAAUUUUUUUUGUAGUGGCUGGUACCAGCGCUACUGCUAUGCAUAUUUCAAGCGCUACUACUAGGGUUUUCCUUAGUAGUGACAGUGGUAUCGCCAGCCCACUAGGGUUCAAGUCCUAGUGCUCGCAUUUAUCUUGGAUUUAUUACAGGAUUUCCGGCGAUAGUCUUUCAGUGGGAGGAGACGUUCUCGUCGACUACGAGGCGCUUAUCUUGGAUUUUUUACAGGAUUUCCGGCGAUAGUCUUUCAGUGGGAGGAGACGUUCCCGUCGACUACGAGGCACUUACGAAGACUUCGUAAAAUCUCAAGAUGAUAUGCCGACUCGGUCUGUCAAAGAUACUCAUAUGGGUAGGGGGUGCGUGUUUGCAUUCAUACGGGUGAGUGUAUGCGUGUAUAUAUGAGUUGUACCGAUGUUAAAAAAAACAAUGCACGACUAAGCGAAUCAACCUGUGGUUGGAUGAUUAGGUGGACAGUGGUAUCCCUAGCCCACCAAUGUUCAAGUCCUGUUGCUCGCAUUUAUCCUGGAUUUAUUUUAGGAUUUUCAGCGAUACACGUUCAGUGGGAGGAGACGUUCCCGUCGACUACGAGGUGCCUAUGGUGACUUCAUAAAAUCUCAAGAUGAUAUGCCGACUCAGUCUCUCAGAGGUGCUCAUAGGAAUAGGGUGCGUGUGCGCGCGUUCAUAGUGGUGAGGGUAGGCGCGUAUAUAUAAGUGCUUGUGUCUUUAAGAAAAAGGAGGAUAGACCCCUGCCUCUGUAUCGGAACGAUGGAUGCGGCCAUCUUAUUAAUUAUUCACAGAGGCCAUACGAAGUAAUACAUCAGUCAGCCUGAAGCCACCAUCUAGGCAACGCCUGUUGCUACUCCUAUCCCAUUGAUGAAGGUGUGCCGAAUAUCAGGGCCUAUUACAACAUCACACCAAACCCUAACAUCUAAAGCUAGAUGCCCCAACCCAACCACACAUCGGGACUGGGUCCCAUACUGGACCGACGCACUCUUAGAGGCUGCCGCCGCCAUCUUCCAUCGAUCCAUCUCCAGAGCAGAAACUGACCCAUCGACCUUGUCUGGCUUGCCGUCGACGCCACCACGGCGCCAGGCAACUCCACCAUCCUGCACGUAUCCGAACACACGCACCCGUCGCCGAACCUUCGCAACACCAUGCCACCAGGAUCCACCGUCGGCCUUGCGGUGGAUGAGACACCGCUCUUCCGCUUGUCCCGACCAACUAGCACUUGCUCCAAAACGAUGCCCUCAGGAGGAACAACGACAACAAAGGUACCAUCAUCGUCCGAUCCGGUAGAUCGAGAUCUAUGGUUUCCUCUGGAGCAUCAGAGUGGGUUGCCACGACUUGCAACAAUGAUGGCUCGAGAAAGGAACGACAUCAUAGAUGCCGCCAUCGUCCGUCAUGACCGAAGUCGGUGCGAUUUUCACCGGAAGUCGCAUCCCCCCAACCUCGCAGCUGGCUGGAACCGAAUGGAUCCUCGCUGUGGAGAUGAGGGCCGCCGUUGGCACGCCGGUAGGGAGCCUCCAGCCGCCCCUCACCGGUCCUCCUCGCGCCACCGGCCGGCCAAGGCCGUAUGGAGACGGAUCUGGUCAGGACGCCAGAUCCGCAGCCAUCGGAGCCACCCAUGAGCCCGCGGCCGCCACACCGCCAACCAUGUAGGUUCCCAUCGCCACCGCGCAGCAGAGACGCUACCCGACUGCCGCCCCAGCCUCCCCACGUGAGACGCGGCCUCCGCCUCAUAGGAUCUGCCGCAACGACCACCCGCCUUGGAUCUGCGGUGCAGGGCCUGCCGCCACCGCGACCCUUCAAAUGCUCACUUCCACGGACGUUUUACACCGACACAACGCAGCAUACACCGUUUGUCGUAUCAGUACAGUUUCUAAGCUACCAGGAAAUAGAGCCCUAGGAGCGAUCUUGUGUUUUUUUCGUGAUGGCCCAGCACACCAGCUCCCCUGCCCAUACAAAGUACUCAACCGACUUCCCUAAAAAAAAUGUACGCAACCGACAUUAAGAGUCUGGUCAAACUCCUCACCCCGCAUGUCUUUCUGCUUUGUGUUUCAAGAGAGAGAGGAGGGGCGAUUUGGGGGACAAGGUCGACCACCGGUGCUUGCAACUUGGGUGAGGGUUAAGUUGGGCGAGGUGGUUGCUGGAGACAAUGAUAAAGGAAAUAUGCCUAGAGACAAUAAUAAAGUUAUUAUUUUAUAUUUCUUUAUUCAUGAUAAAUGUUUAUUAUUAAUGCAAGAAUUGUAUUAACCGAAAACUUGAUACAUGUGUGAAUACAUAGACAAAAUACCAUGUCCCUAGUCGGAAUUCAAGCUGAAAUUUAUUCAGUUGUAUCGGAUUUCAGAAUCACGAGAAACCGGCACUGUUCAAGUACUAUGCAAUAGCCACUUGAAAUGCUCCACGUGUUGUGAUACAGAUUUUCUGGCCCCGUACCUGGUGGCACGUUGUGGCGUUUCGCCGUCGAUCCGCGUGGCAUGGCAUGUCGGCACAGCCAGCCAGCCAGCAGCCCAGCACCACCACAACUUGUGUAAUUAAAGCCUCCUCCCGUCCUUCCUUCCCCGCGACAGAGCAACGCGGCCCCCAACCAAACCUCCUGACCAGCAGAGCAAGAGAGAGGGAGGGAGAGAGAGAUCUCCCGAUGGCGUCCCGGAGCUGCACCUUCGUGGAGAUCCUGCUCGCCGUCAUCCUGCCGCCGCUCGGCGUCUUCCUCCGCUACGGCUGCUGUAGCGUAAGCAAUCCAUCCCCUUCCUCUCCGCGAGGCGAUCCAUGCUGGAUCCUGAUAUAUUAGCAAACUAAUAAUAGUGUUUAUUGGUCUUUCUUUCUGUCUGCCUUGAACAGAUGGAGUUCUUGAUCUGCCUGCUGCUCACCAUCCUGGGCUACAUCCCCGGCAUCAUCUACGCCGUCUACGUGCUCGUCGCGCAUGGCUCUGCCUCGGAGGAGAGCGGCAGGGACUACGACGCCCUUGGUUGAUAUCGUGUAGCACCUCAUGCCGUGCGAAUCAACGUCCUGUGUGUGUGUGUGUGUGUGUGUUUCCAUCUGCUGCACUGUGUGGCGUGCCUUCUUUCUAUAUCAGUCUGUAAAUGCUGCUUAAACCGUGCUCCGGUUUCCCCGGCCGUCCUGUGAUUCUCAUACAACCGAAUAAAUUUCAGCUCUGAAGAUUUUGCCCACUGGUUUACGCCAGUCGGUGAGCAGGUUUGU
RNAcentral lists this long non-coding RNA (54247 nucleotides) under Triticum aestivum (bread wheat). RNAcentral's name for it is "long non-coding RNA (TAES_LNC007791)". Lineage: Eukaryota; Viridiplantae; Streptophyta; Magnoliopsida; Poales; Poaceae. The record is from RNAcentral.